UUUUUUUUUUGUGAGGAGAGCAAUUAGUUCAGUAAAGAUGCAACCAGACCUCGAAACUGGCCAAAUCUAAUGAUACUGAAAGUCCUUCCUGUUUAGCAAUCCUAAUAGCUUCAAUAAUCUGUUCCAUGUUCUGUUGUGCAUAUCUCACAACAAGCCACUGCAUCAAAAUAAAUAGCAAUGAAAAUUCAGACUUAACAAAAACAUGUGCUAGGAUGUUUUUUAUAAGAAGAAUAAUAUAUCACGAAACGGAUGUGCACCAAAGAGGGAAAAGGAAAGCACCUUGGAGCCUUUGAAGUCCUCCUCUCUAAACUCAUUGGCCUGUUAGAUGGACAAAUGAUCUCACCAAUCAUAAGAUUGUUAAGAGAUGUAAAUUUAACACUGCAUCAGACAAGGGUAUACCUGCAGCUUGACUGCACUAGAUAGGCAUGGCCGCAUGGUGCGAUUGCCGCUUGCAUCAACCAAGCACGCACACUAUAACAGGUAUGCUUUUCAGCCUUAUCCACUAUGCAGUAAAAUAAGGGCAAAAAAGAUAAAUUCUGGCUUCUGUUAGGCUACCUGAGCGGUGUGCCCUUUUUUGGGCCUUAAUCUUGUGAGAUCUACACCACUAAAACUCAUAUUGUCGACAAACAAAAUGGCCUGGUUAUCAUCUCCACAAGCUCCAAUUAUUCCAGUUGAUAUCCCAAAACCAGCUGAGAGCCCACGGAUUGUGUUGGCAACGCUUCCACCAGCCAUUGUAGUUAUUGGAGUGAGAUCAUUGCGGGAAGGAAGGAUGUGGGCAUUCACUUCAGUAAGAAUAUGAUUCAGCUCCUCAAUGGACACCUGUACAUAAAACUAUUGUCAGAUGAAAUGCAGAACCCAACCCAAUGACACAAAGUUUUGAUUCCCCUUGUAAGCGAUGCCAGGUUAGUUGCAUUAUCUUGAUGCAAAACAACUCAAGGUUCAGAAAAUAUUUCAUAAUGCAAAUGCAACCACAAAAAACAACAAUAAAACACACUGGAUGUGUGAUUCUUCAACAGUUCAACAUCCAUGCGAUAACUAAAAAGGUUGUAGACAGUUUUCAACUAGCAUAACAUAUAUUUCCACUUUUCUUGGUAGCUUUGAUUCCAAAUUUCUUUUAUGUUGCAUUAAAGAAAAAUCUUAUGAUAGAAUGGAAUUGUUCCUGCACAUGUAUGCAUGUGCCUUUUGCUUUGUUUAGAAGCUAAAGCCAAAUGUUGCCUUCUUGGAAUUAUGCUAGUAUGAUGGGAAGGAAAAUGAUAACAUUUCAGCAUGUUCAACUGAAGAAUCUCUGACUGUCAGUUCGUAUAUAAGAGAGUAGGUUGAUUUGAUAGAUAGAGGGACUCUAACCUAUUGCACAUAAUCCAGAAGAUACAGGUACAAAGUAUGACAUUUUAAAAUCUAGGUUGGAAUCUAACUGCUACCAAUUUAUAAUUUCAUCUAUCAAAAAAAAAUGCAUUAUAGACUAUCUUGGGAGCAUACACUACUUCCUUACACAAGGGCAGCAGUCACAUCAUAAAGGUGGCAGGUGCUAAUUAAGAUUCAAGAUCAUUGCAAGUACUACUUUUCUCUCUUGACAAUUACGGGGAACUCCUGUGUGGAGAUCAAAUAUGACAGGGAGAAAAUAAGUAAUUAGAAUUUGACAAGAUGCUGAGCCUGCAAUCAUGUAUCUUUGCAUAGAAAAGUCAAGAAUGUCUGACGACCAUAACUAGCAUGGUGGUUUCUUUCACUACAAACUUUCACUGAGUCUGGGGCAUAAAUAGUUAGGUGCCCGCAGACCAAUCAGUUCAAGAAACGUUAGGCCAUGCUUGACCAUUCCUGAAGUGUGCAGUGCAGAGCAUGCCAAACCAUCAGGCAAGCACUUUCUCAAUGAAAGCAACACCAAAUCUAAUCAAUAUAGCUGCAUUUAACCAAAGCAAAGUAUAGACCACUUCAAAUAUAGGAAAUAUCUGUCUCUACGCCCACCAAAAGUACUUGAACUGUUCUGUUCAAGUACAGGAAGAGUGGAACCAUGUGGAACAAAAGAACAGGCAAUUUCUUGACAAUCCGAGGAGACAUAACAUAAGUCAGUAGGGCAUUCAUUCAUGAAAGCAUGUGUCUUAUAAAAUAUGAAACAAAAUUAGCUGCACAAACCAUUUCAAGAAUAAAGAGUGCAUCAUAAUCAUAAUAUACAAAAUUCGGAAUGAGAUUCAACAAGUUACUUCUGAUGCAGCACUUAGGGUUCUUUUUCUCAGAAAAAAUACAGAGGUCACAAAAUUGAGUACAUUAGAAUAUUGAAGAACAAGAGAUCCAAACGUCACAUGGCCGGCGGACAGCUAGAAAAGGAACAUGGAGGGGACGCCAAUUGAAGCUAGAAUUCGGCCAGUGAUGCAACAGCCUACCUCUAAAUAACCACGUGAUGGCAAAUGAUUCACCCGAAAAUUCAAACAGGAAAAGAAACGGAGGGGACGGGGGAAGAAUUCCGAGGGUGUUGGACCUCGAAACAGGAACGAAUUUCCAACGACGAACAACAUUGCAAACAUCUGGCAAUCAAUACAGCAUAAGUGGUUACUGGCUCCAUCAGACCGGCCCUUGCAGGGUAUAAUUGGGGUUGCGAUUUCAAUUCGCAAAUUGAACGGAAGAGUGCGCUUGGAACUGUCGAAGUGAAUUACAACCAUACGGGCCGCGUUGCGCGCGGAGGGAGAGGGGAGGAGCGCGAAGUACCUGCUGCGAGCCGCCGCGGUCGCCGGGGACGCGGUCGAGGAGGGACCAGUCGACGCGGGCGACGUGGUCGAUCAGCGCCGAGAGCUGGAGCCCCAGCACCGCGGGCGCCGCCGCCGCCGCCGCCUCCCAGCCGGGCCGGAGGGAGGACGGAGGCUGCUGCGGGUGCUCUGCCUCGGCGCCCAUAUGGGUCGGUCCAGGUGAAUUGGCCGGUCUCCCUCCGCUGGCCCUCUCCUCGAGCGGAGGAGGAGGAGGAAACGGUCGCCGGCGCCGGCGGUGCGGGGGGCUGCUGGGCCCGUGUCGGGAGCAGAUGGGAUUGCAAAGCCUCCAAGGGGAGGGCUUCUUCGCCGCCGUUUUAUAGGAGGUGGAAGAGGGGGCAACCUUCUUCGGCACUGUUCAUCACUGCCCUUGCACGGAUCUCGAUGCAUCUUGCUCGAUUACGUGGAUUAUUGUCUCCGUCAUUAAUCACCUCAUUAUUAUUAUUAUUGACUUAUUUUCGAUGGGUGAUGCAUGGAGUAUGUACCACUACCACACCACGACUUACACAACCGCGCCGGCGCACCUACUGUAUAACAUGAGUCUAUUUUAAGAAAACGUUUCAUGGAUUAUUUUUAAAAAACAUGGAUUAUUUAUUCAUGUGUAUGUCAAAUUAUGGGCACCGAGAUUCAAACCAAAAACAUUCCAAUCAUUUCAUGAUGAUUUUAUUGUGUCUCAAGGAGUUACGUGUCUCAGAUAGACGACAUAGUACUGGGUCAUGCCUAUCCACUAUGGAUUAAACCCUAUAUGACUCUUUGUGUGUCUCAUUAAUCACUAGUAUGGUUAUUUAUCUACAUAAUAGAUGAUGUACCCAUCGGCAAAAGACUGGACUAUGUGUUUUAUGAAAUUUUACCAAAAUACAAUGAUCUACCACCCCAUUGAUGUUUAAGUCUUUAUAUGGAAUGAUACUUUGGUGUUAUAUUGACGGAUGCCCACUUCAAAAGAAUCUUUGGCUCUGCUCCUGUAGCGAAGUGAUUCCAGUGACUUCGUCUAGUCUCUCGUAAGCAUUUGUAUGAGUAAGCAUUUGUAUGAGUAGGGUACAUUAAUGAAAUAUAAAGUACGUACCCUCUCUGUUCCAAAUUAUAAGUUAUUUUUAUUUUUUUAAAAUUUAUAGAUUUUGCUAUGCACCUAUAUAUAUAUUGUGCUUUGAUAUAAACAUAUAAAACCUAAAAUGAUCUAUAAUUUAGGAUAAAAGGAGCACCUAGGAUUCGAUACCUAGUGAGUAGAAGGUACAGUCAACUCCGCUAGCCAUGCAAAGCAACACUUGACUCUUCCAUAUUUCUGAAUUAUAAUUGUAUGAAAUUAUGUGGCUAGGUACAGAUCCAUCCAUGGCUUCUCCAAUUAUACAUUUUGUGCAAGUGUGCAUACAAUUCGUGAUUGCGGGUUAUGGCCUAGGAACCACCUUUUUCACCCUGCGGGUAAAUGACGAUAGUAAGACUGCACUGGUCAAAGUUUAAAACCGUCACUAAAUUGGUACAGAUAUAUGGAACGUAUAUGAUGCAAACCAUCUAUCCCGUGCAGCCUUGGAAACUAUGAAUCAAGAUCACAAGAUGCUAAUCCAAUGGAUAGGAUUAGUAGUGGGGUUAUUUUGCAGUUAAGCCCCUUCACCCGCUGGCCACUUUUGAUGCAGCACCUUUUCCAUGAUAUGCAAAAUUAAACCUAAUUAAUUCAUAAUUAGCACAUGUUUACUGUAGCAUCACAUGGGCUAAUCAUGAACUAAUUAAGCUUAAUAGAUUCAUCUCAUGAAUUAACCCUCAUUUUUAUCAUUAGAUUAUAUUUAAUACUUCUAAUUAGUGUGCAAACAUCCGAUGUGAUAUGGAUUAAAGUUUAGUUGGGGUAUCAAGCACCCCCUAACUUGCACAUUGGAGCGACAUCUCGGAUCUUUCACCCAUCAUUCACGCUAGCUACUAGUAGUAUUUUGUUGCAAUAAUAAUACUCCCUCUAACAGCCGUUCGUUCUUUAGGCUAGUGGCGCAUAUUCAGUCUGACGAAGAAACCCCUUUUCUUUUCUUUUUUCGCGGGUAAAACCCCUUUUCUUUUGUAUCGUAGUGCUCUGUUUUCCUUUCCUUCGUAGUGCUUUGUUGUUCUUUUGAAUCACCGGAGCACACAUGCACACACACACAAAACAAAACAAAACAAAAAAGAAAAAAGGAAAAAAAAACUAUGAUGGCACGGUGCAGUUGCGCUGCAAAUUUGGGUCCCUGCAACUUUUGCUUAAAGAAGGCACAAGGGAACAAAAGGUGCCGGCUGAAAAUGAGAAUGACAAAGUGAUUAGGAUAUGAUUAUAAAGUUGACGGAGGCCGCGCCUCUGUGGUUGCUCCAGUGCUUCGUGGAGUUCAGAGGAAAUAACCGGUCGUUGCCGUUCGUGCGUCCGAUUUGGCUCGCGUCAGCUGGCCAACGAGGCAGCGAUCUCCGUCUCGCGCAGUCGCGCGGUAGAGCCACUGGCAUUCGCCAUUCGCUCGCGCUGCCGGUUGGCCAUUGACUCGCGUCAGCUCCCGUCAAGGAGGUCAAGAACAGCCUAGCAGCGGCCGAUCCGAUUGAUCCACGGGAAUUUUCUCGGCAGCUUCCCGUUCCGGCAGACGGGGACAAAUCCGUCGGCCGGCUCGGUGUGGUACCCAGCUUCCGUCAGGUACAGUACACAAGUGGGUGACACGAUUUGCGCGUGCCAGGAAACUACACGUAUGGGGGUGGUGAAGCCGUGGUAAUAAAUUGAGGACAAAUCAAUCACAGUCACGUAGAUGUUCCACUCGGUUAAUUAUUGUACCAGUACCGUAUACCAGGUCGCACGCUGGGAGAAGAGAAAAUUCCUUAUAUGCCAUCAGAAAUUAUACCCAUCCUUUUGAUACUAUAAAAAACUAGUAGCUAGGUGCCACUGCCCACUGCCAUUAAUUUUUCUUGGAGCUCACCGGUCGCCGUUACGGCACACUUGUAGCUCUGGUUCCAAUUGAACCGCAUAGCGUUGAGCUCGGUAUAUGUAAAGAAAAGAAAAAUCGUUGGCCGCUACCUCCAGUUCUCCUUCUCUCCCUCUUUCCCCUUGCAGGUACUGGAGUACCACUGCAACUGCUCGAAUCAACAGCUGCCGCUAGCCCAGUAGCCAAAUCUUUCAACAAAAAUGAGUUGCGCGCCCCUUCUUGAGCCUAGAUCUAGCGUCGCAACUUCCGAUUGUAGCAUAAAGGAGCUUGAUUUUGGUGACGAGGGUCUCGUUUGUGGCGGCGUCUACUCCUCUACUACUUGCGCACCUCCAUGGCCGCCGUCUCAUGUAGCCAUCUGCUGGUGUGCUACUUCCCUCUGCUGCUGCACUCCCUUCCUCCUCUACUGCUCGCUGCUGCAUGCCCCACCUCCGUGUUCCUGCCCGCUGCAGAGGGUGGCGUUGGGGGCGGUUGGACAGAUAGGGCGUGUCGAAUCGGGCCGCUAGGUGCAGCAGACCAGGUGGGCGCCGGCGCGCCGUCCAGCGGUUGAAGGGAGGGUCACAUGAUGAUUUUUUCUUUUCCUUUUUCUCCCCAAGUUUUGAUCUUUAUUAUAUGCAUAUAGAUGAUUACACACUUUAUCCAUCUAUAUUCUUAUUAAAUUUUUUUCAUGCACGUUUAGAUAGUGUUUGGUUCAGCAAAAUGUAAUGUAACCUAUCUACACUGUUAAUUGAUUACGUUAUAUCUUGUUUGUUUCACCGCCGCCUGUAAACGAGUCCCACGUAAUCAGAUACCGGCCAAUAGAAAUCUGAUACCCCUCCUUCUCCCCCGUAACGAGAUAUCAGUUCUCUUUCCUAGGAAAAGUGAGCUUUGUGCAUGAUGUAUUAAUCGAUACCGUUGCAUCCGCUGUAGAACCAAACAAAACAGGGAAACAGUGAUCUCACUGCCAAUGGCAGUGUAAUCCAUUUCCCGUACCGUUUGUGUUACCAGAUGGUGAAACAAACACUAUCUUAGUGUGCUGAACCAGCCAAAUGGUCCUACCAUUACAGCACUAAUCACGUCACUUGCCAUGAUUAGUGACAUUGAUGUGUGGAGCCUUUGCUACGAGGUGAGCAGGCAGCACGUGCACUAUGGCCACGAUUAUGUCCGUAAUCACAUGCCCUUCUCUUUAUCUCCUUUCACAUGGAGACGACGGGGCCUCUCCGAUCGCUUGGAAAAAGGAUGAAUUUAACAUCACUAGGAUGGAAAAGCUUACAAAUACAUGGGCGAUCUCGAUAAAUGGUUAAACCUGAGUUGUAUGCAAAAUGUUUACACCCAAAUGUCCGUCACUUACAGAGUGCUAUGCCUAUGCCAAAAAUGGUUAAAUUAUCUAGCAAAGGUUGUGCCUAAAAAGCUCGCAAGCCGACACGGCGGGGAGUAUCUGAUUGGGAAUCGUGGGAUCCAGGCCGCCCAAUGGCGGGACGACAGCUUAGCCCCCGUCCAAGCACAUGGCCCCCGCGGACAGUGACGAGUGACCACCCAGAUAGAUACUCUGCGCGCGCUCCAGCGUCCGGCCCAGGCCCAAUUCAUGCAUGCUAGCACACCACUUGAGUAUAGUAGCCCUGCUGCAGCAGCAGCUAUGCUGUGGUAGGAUGACACAACUGCUCGUCUGCUCCUCCCGUUCACGAGUAGCAAAGCAUGUCGCAGUGUCGCAGUGUUUUCAAAAAAAAAAAAAAGCAUGUCGCAGUGUCAUGUUGGCGUGCCGCUGGGAUUUGUUCGUCAGAAUACCAGACCACGAGAGAAAGAAAAGGAGAGGAGAGGAGGCAUGAAUCAUGGUGAUGCAUACUCGCCCCCCCCCCCCCCCCUCUCUCUCUCUUAGCCCUUCCUCUAAAGUGUGUUCCAAUAGGCAUUUGAGAAAUGGCAAUCCGACGUGGCAAACGGCUAGGUGCUGUUAACUGGGCCCUGGUGGCGGCGGGUGCACAUGAUGAUGGAAAAGGGGCACCACGCCUGGCCGAAUACGACGAGCGGUAGUAGCUCCCAGCCUCGCGGCAGGCGCAGGCGCAGGCGCAUCUCAUGGCUACUGCCGGCGAAAACAAACAGAGCAAGAUGCCCCGUACGUGACGGAGUGAGCGAGUGACAUCAAUCAGCCGGAGUAGGCGCGUGACAGCCGGUGAGAAGGGGACGGGAGGAAGACCGAAGACGCACUCCGAAAAACACGUGAACGAGAGGGGGUUUCUGGGCGGCUUUUGUUUGUUCCGGCUGGACGGCCGGCGGCCGGGGCUCCACCGGCCGAAAGUGACAAACCGGCGAUCCGAGAAUGAUACUCGGUGCCCCCACGCGCGCAUGAUUGCGUCUUGUUUCUUAAAGAUUUUGCCUGCUGCUGUGGCUCCUCGUCACGGCAAUGGUUCGACGGCAAAGGUCCCGUUGCCCCGAGACGAUCGUGCAACGGCUCGCAAAAUCGCAGUGCGCGCGGCGCAGGCCGGAGCACUUUUUCUUUCUUUUCUCCGUUUCUUUUCCUUUUCUUUUUCCAACGAACCGCUGAGCAGGCGAGCACGAACUGCUACUGUGUGAGGCAGUGAGGGCUAGUGUAGGCUAGCUGAACAACAAACAAAUGGACCGAGCCAACAACAAGGCCGGAAUUUGAUGCGCCUGCCAGCCUACACCCGUAGGCUAGCUCCUCUGCGGCGGCACUGCGUGUGGCAGGUAGUGCUGGGGGACGGUGGUGACUGGUGAGUAGCGCCCACCGCAGCAUCCAUGCGUUCCUCUCGUCUCUCUCGCGCAUCCGGCCGAGCCGGCAGCGCAGCGGCCUCACACGCAAGUGGAUCGUCUGGUCGACACGGCACCGCGCGGCGGCGGGGCCCGCUCGCAGUAGCAGCCCACGGCCCACGCGCAAUAUUGUUUGUAGCAGAUGAAAACUCUCGUUGACGUAGGGCAUUGACCUCCCAACCGGUCCGCCGGCAUCGAUUCGUGAUCGAUCCACAGUUCCACACACUCUCUCGGAGUCUCCCGCAAGCGCUUUCAUGUAUCGCCCGGAAGAGCAUUCCAGCACGCAGCAGCAGGCCGGCAGCACUAGUCCAGCAGAGGAGAAGUACCGGGCCGCGGACCGAUUUUGAUCUGGGCCUUUCACUAGGGUUAGCUUGAGCAGCCCACGACGGUCCAGAGCUUACUUCCUGUCUGGCCCAAGGUCCAGAGGAUUCACAGAUUUGAUCUGGGCCUCUUGAGGCUAAAGAAGGUCAGCUCAGCCCACGCUUCAGAACUUCCUUCCUUGCCUGCGCAGUAAUUUUGUUGUGAGCGGCCGUUUAAAACAGAAAAAGAACAGCCCAGUCCAUAGGCAGUAUUGGGCUAUCUAUUUCGGCCUAGGUCUCUUCUCACAUCGGCUCUUUUUUGGGCCAGUCCAUAUUGCGUCAGAAGGUUAACUGGGAAUUACUGUAUGUGCGUUUUCGUUUCUUUUUGCAUGGCCCCAUUCAAACGAGAAUCAGUUCAUACAUGACACAACAGCACAACAUUACAAAAAUUUUCUUGAUUUGGAUUGGAAGUUGUGUGCAAAUGGAAGCAAAACCAUAUGAUCCGUUACCUUAAAUUAGUGUUGUUGACGGACUGUGUCAAAUUGUUGAUUCAGAUUAGUUUUUUUUUCUAAGUCUAGAUUCUAAAAGGCAAACUUCUAUGUAAAUAUGAUGCUAGAAGUCAUUUUGCACAGAGCGUAGAAGUCAAGUUGAACAUAAGCUACUUCAAUUCGUGUAAAUUGGAUGCUUGGAAUCAAUUUGAGCAUAGCCUAUUUUCUAGAUAAAAAUAGCAAUAAGUUAAUUGUAACAUAAGCUAUUUUAAACUGUGCAAAUUGGAUGCUGGAAAUUAGAGCAUAUUUUUUUUAUAAAAUAGCUAGGAAUCAAUUUGAGAGUAAGCUAUUUUAUAGAUAAACCAAUACAGGAGUUGUAACAAUAUGUUUAAUAAAUGAGUUGUUAGUUAGACUUCAUAUUCCCUAUCCAAUGGAAAGGUUGGAUGGCUUCUUAUGUUGGAGAAGAGAAAAGGAGCAUCGCACUAACACACAAUUGGCAAUAAAGGGCUAGUGACGCCAAGGGAGGAGCACCUCAACAAUUGCCUACAUGCGCACCUGAUAUUUUCCGUACUAGUCCAUCAACCCAUGCAUCCACAUGAGUUUUAAACCUUCUUACUUGCAAACAAAAGAAAAUUAUACUCUCAUGAUAAAAAACAAUAGCCUGUCUGACAAAUGGAUGAAAAGUUAAAAUUCGGCACUGUUUAUAAUGUUUUAUGUUUUGAGCAUCAUGCAAUUUUCUUAUUACAACUUUAUUUGAGAACAUUUUCAUUCAAUAAGUAGUUAUUUGAACUUCAAUCAUCAGAAGCUCUUUUUUAAUGUAAUGUACCUCCCUACGAUACUUAUAUUCCUAGGAAAAGAGAAGAGCUCGAAGAAUUACACUGCGAAUAUUAUUCAGUAGUGUAACCCCAUCCCGUGAUGUCAUCCCUUAACCACCAUGCAAACCACCUUUCGUGCAGGCUCUGCUUAUAACAUAGGUGGUCGUGUCAGCUUCAAUUGAGGACGACAUGACAUGGGUGUGUCUAAUCAGCAUGCGCGCCAGCAACGAAUGCAACCAUCGAUUUCCGACAAAGCGAGUUUCCCUGCCUUCGCGCGCGAUGACUUUCCGCACAUGCGCCCUAGACAUGGUUCCACCAGCGGUCACCCACUAUCCCCACGCCUAUCCAGCAGUGACCCCGACGCAUUUCUCUCUGUAACACAACUUUUGUAUAUAAUUUAUACACAUAAAUUUAUAUAAGACAAAAGUUAUGCACACAACAUUAAAGAAAACACAUUAAAACACACAAAAUAUAUGCAAACGUAUAUACAACAAAUUAUGUUGAAAACUUAUGCUAAAUAUAAUCAUAUAACAAACUUAUAGACAUAACUUUUUGCAAAAAAAAUAAUCAAUAUAACUUAUGAAAAAAAGAAAAACUUAUGAAAAUGUAUUUAUAUAUAUAAAUUAUAUGCAUAACUUUUCCAAAUUUAUCGAAUAAAAAAACAAGGAAGAAAAGAAAAAAAGAGGUUAACCGGCCUCGCCGGUGCUGGGUCACCAGUGCCGCGUCAUUGCCUCCCUGGAUUCACCCUCCCGCAAUGGGCAGGUGUCCUGUGGCGAAGAGGAAGAGGAAGCGCCACCGUCGCACCCUCCGGAGCCACUGCCGCAGCUCUACUUAUCGGAAGCACACGUCAGUCCUCAUCUCGCCGGCCACCACCGAACGCGAGGCUUCCGGAUCCGACCUCCUCUUCGGCGGCACGCGACGUGAGGAGCUCGAGCUGCCUGGUGACGAAGGGGAAUGGGAAGGGGAGUCCGCAUGGUUGCCACGCGCGGAGCUCGCAGCGGCUCCUCCCGAACCUGACAUGAUUUCAUAGAGGAGAGCGAAGAAAACAAACCCUAGUAUCCCGUUUCUAUCAUAGGGGCGGCGUACAAAUGGAUUUACCUGAGAGUGGGUAAAGACCCGAGUAAUGCAUGGGCAUCACAAAAGGAAAAAUAGGUAUUUUGAUCCCUGGACUUUGUACCGAGGGUCAACUUCGUCCCUCAACUUUCAAAUUGGUCAAUUUAGUCCCUCAACUUUUGUUUUUAUUUCAAACUCGUUCUUGUAUUGAUAUGUGGCUCCGUAUUGGCAUGAAACUAAUACGAAAAGUCCUUUUUACCUUGACUCUUUUCUCUCUUUAUUUUUCGCCUUUAGAACUACAAUAACGUGUAUAUUUGCCGAGGAACUAUGAGGAUGCAUAUAUUUACCAUGAGGAUGCAUAUAUUUACCGAGGAACUAUGAAUAUAUACAUGGAGCAUGUAUAACACACCACGAGUGUGUGAGCACAUGUUGAUUUUAGAGCAUGCGUACACACAUUAAGUUGUAUAUAUACUAAAAGAAUAUGAUUAAAUACUUGUUUGAGUAUAGACAUAUCGAAUGCGUAUGAGCACAUGAAUGACUUUAAAGAUUACGAGUAGAUACACUUUUUAGAAACCAUAUUUUGUGUUAGUUUAAAAAAUAUAUUAUUGUGUGUAUGUAUUAAGGGAGUAUGAGCACAUACAUGUUUGAUCUACAUGUUCAUGGGCAAACGGGAUAUUUUCGCAUUAGGCUUAUGCUAACAUAGAAUACUAUAUUAGCACAAGGAUUUGUUUGACCCAAAAAUGAAUGUCAAUAUGAAAGUUGAGGGACGAACUUGAUCCCGUAAAAUUUAAGGAUAAAGUGGCUAUUUUGCCUAAAAGAAAUAUUAAUGAUCAAAUUACGCAUUGGUUGCACAUGCGAUACAACCUAAACGAUUUUUGUUGUCAGUUCGUAACCUGAGACGGUAUUCUCUGACCGCAGGCACGGAACCAUAACCAUCGAGCAGGAGCAGGAUAGAAUCCUGAAUUUGGCGAGGACGGCAACGCCGCAACGGCAUAUGCCAACGGCGAGACCCAUCACUUUCUCAUCCGGUUAUCCCCCGCGCUCGAUCUGGCUGGCUGCUGGCCUGCUGCUUGAACGGAACGCCCACCAAGCAGCAAGUAAACGGCACCGACUCCCAACCGGAAGAGCCGAGCCGAGCCAAGUCUCCUCCUCGUCUCCUCCCCAACCUCCUCCCCUCCCCUCCCGUUCCCGACUCGACCCCCCUCGCCUCUGACCCAGCAGGCUAGGGUUCCGCCCCCACCCCACCCGACCCCACCCCGAUCCGAUCCCAUGGACGGCGGCGACUCCUCCGCCGCCGGCGCCGGCGGCGCCGUGGCCGCGGCGGCCAAGUGGCGGAGCGACGCGUCGCGGGCGUUCCAGUACUACCUGGACCGCUCGACGCCGCACGCCACGGGGCGGUGGCUAGGGACGCUCGCCGCCGCCGCCAUCUACGCUCUGCGGGUCUACAUGGUGCAGGGCUUCUACAUCGUCACCUACGGCCUCGGGAUCUACCUCCUCAACCUCCUCAUCGGCUUCCUCUCCCCCAUGGUCGACCCCGAGCUCGAUCCCUCCGCCGCCGCCGAGGGGCCGGCGCUGCCCACCAGGGGAUCCGACGAGUUCAAACCCUUCAUCAGGCGCCUCCCCGAGUUCAAGUUCUGGUCAGAUCCCGCCUCCCCUCCCCCAGAUCUGUUUCCGCUCCUCGCCAGAUCCGCGUUUUUUUAUUUCUUAUUACUGCACCUGCUCCGGCAAUUCGCUACUUGCCCGUAUGUAUUUGCCCACUGGAACGGGGCGAUCGGGUCGGUUAGAUAGCUACUUGACAGCUUCUCGUAAUUUAUAUAGAGCCGUGUUAAUCGGCAUUUUCAAAACCGAUUAGUUUCCUUUACUACUCAAGUUACUAUUUCUCAGCUACUGCUGAUCCCCCUCCACAGUAAAUAGGCAUUUUUCUCGACCGUCUGUGGCAACCCACUGCCCUCCAGGUUCUUCCACUGAAUCAAUCAAUGGAAGACAUCGUGCAGUUCAUUCGGUUGAUGAGAAACUGGCAGGAGAAAACUUUUAGCUUGUAGAGCACAAAUCCUGGAGUGUGUGUGAUCUAUCAACAAUUGCUUUAGUCAUAGAAGAAAAGGGUUGCAAAAUUUUUCUGUUGGGAAGUUCGUGUGUCACCUGAUUAUGGUUGUUUAGUUCCAAGUCAGCUGACCAUGCAUUUAGUUGCACAAUCAUUGUCAAUCAGUGCUUAUUUGUGCUGCAUACUGAUUUGCAUAUCCUCCAGCAACCCGAAAACCAAGCAUUGUUGCAUAUUGGUUACCUCUUAAACUACAAUCAGUUCCUGAAUAAAUCACUCAAGGCAUGUUGCAUCCCUUCAAUUCCACCAUACCGUUUGGAAUUCCAGUGGAUGAAAAUGAUAUAAACAUACUCUAAUGAUGUUGUUGCACCACCAUGUAGCAGAGAAAAUUGUCACUUAUUGCUUCUGGUCCUCCCAGUUGAAGCGGACCGUCAGGUAGGUGGCAAUAUCGUUGUAUGCAAUGCCCAUGUGCUUGGUAACAGGGGGUUUCUUCGUUGAAACUAGAAUUAUUCUGAAGCGCCUUCGUUUUAGUUAAAAUAUAUCUGCUUUAAAUGGUGUCUAUCUGGAUUAAUCGGAAUUUCUGAAAUUUUUGGUGAAAUCGUUGUGAGGAGUUCUCUUUCUUUUCUCUUUGUUAAUUUGUCUGGGUCACCAUCACUUGUGGUCUCUGAUCUGCCUGGUGCAUAAUCCAUAUUUUUCUUUUUCCAAAAGGUAGCCAGACAAUAGCUUUUCAAUUUCCUGAUUAUUGCACAUUCAAGAACCUGAAAUCUCUCUCAUUGCCUAGUUACUCAACUACCCCUGAGCCUUUGUAGAUUGGUGAUUAUGUCUGUCUAGGCAAUUAGGCAUUGCCCAUGUGCUUGGUGCGGUGUUUUAAGUUAUACCUUGUCUUUAUCCUCGAUGUCAUUGCAUGUGGGAUGGUUUUGUGGAAAUCUCUCUAGCUACAUCUACAUCUACAUGGGAUGGAUUUACUGUAUAGCUAAAUAUGACAACUUAUAAGUUCGUAUGUAAUUUGAAUCAUUUAUAGUUUCUGUGAGCUCUAGUGGUGGAUUUCUUUUUAGACAAGUUUGAAGUGUUCUCGCUUUGGUAAGAGGUCAGAUAGAUGGAUUCUUAUGUUUUCUUUUUGAACUAAUUGUAGUUUUUGAAAUUUAUAGUAAUGCUUUUCAGAAGUUAUCUGUGAGUGGUUCAAUUUUUCAUCAAUAGUUCACCCUCACUAGUGUCGAGUAUUCUUUUCUUCAUUUUGUGCGUGUUGAGUAAACUAUUGCCAUCUGCAAGGUUUUAUUUUGGAAAUGCUAUUGGGUAGUAUGCAUAAAAAUGCAACGUAUGAAGUACUUUGACUGCUUUCUAUGUUUUCCGUACUCAAGUUUCCUCCUUUUAGGGUGUCAUUCUGAGUGUCACCCAUGUAAUGUGAAUUUAGAUGCAGCACAGCAUGCAAAAAUAUAAUGCAUGCGUAUUUGCUCAUCCAUUUUCGAGUAUUUUCUAAAAUAGUUGUUUUGUUUUGUUAAAUCUUAAUGCUGAAGAUCUUUCUUAAAGUUCCAAUCCAGUAUACCCCCCAUAACAACCAUUUCUUUGUCUUUCAGGUAUGCAAUCACAAAAGCUUUUGUUAUAGCUUUUGUGAUGACUUUCUUCUCUGUGUUUGAUGUUCCUGUCUUCUGGCCCAUACUCCUUUGCUACUGGGUUGUUCUCUUCGUCCUUACAAUGAAGCGCCAGAUUGUGCAUAUGAUCAAGUACAAAUAUGUGCCCUUCAGUAUUGGGAAGCAGGUCAGUACUACUGUUUAAACUUGUUGACUUUUGUUUAUUCGCUAAAUGGUUAUGUGCUGAAAGUCUACUGCUGUGGGUACCAAGGGGGUUGCAUGUUUAAAAACACAUGGACAGUGGGGGUUUUCUAGCAUUUUCAUUAAACACCAUCAGUUAUGGUCCCCAGAUCAAUUUUAUCUUUAUUUUGUGAUGUUCAAGAAAUGCUUGUGUAGUAGCUGCAAGUUGUUGUUAGGUGAAGUGUCAGUUUUUUUUUUCCAUUCCUCAUGAUUUGCCCUGACUGAUGCCAGAAAUAUGGUGGGAAGAAGAGCGGCUCGAGCAGCAGUUCCCCAAGAGACUGAUCCCGUACCUACCCGUAGGAAGCAUGGCAGGGGAACAAGAUACGGUGGAUGAUGAUAUUUGAUGUGCUAAAUACCAAGUGUAAUACUUCAUUCAUAUCUAGAGGUAGACGGAUAUUCGCUCCUGUUUCUGACUUGGGUUCACGGUUUAAUUCGAUAUUGCGCUUAGAAAUGCUUCCUUAUGUGCGUGUAUAGCGUGUUUCACUCUGAUAAAUUAUUUCGUUUAGUUAAGGCACCCCAUAUCUCAGGAUCCCAGAAAUAAGUGGCACGCGAAACUGUCCCAAUGGGAGGCGUGCCACUAGCUUGUCUUUGUACCAAACCGGAGCAGAAUGCCAAACUUUGAGCACUAAACUAAAAUUCAUUUGACUUUACUAUGUCUUAUAAACUUUGCAUAUUCAGAAAAUUUAUGGUCCUUCGUGUCGUUUAGAUAUUUAACGUGAAACGGUGAAAAUGUACCUCGUGUUUUGCUGUCUGGGUGACAACCGUCGUUGGUAACACAGUCCCCAAGAUGUACGCAGCGUGCGCGAUGCCCAGCGCGAGAGGAGCCUCUGCAGAAUCGUUUUCUCAGGAAGAACCAGGCAGGUCAUGUUUAGUUCCUCAAAACUUCCAACUUUCCUAACUUUGACACUAAGUAAAAAGAAGAUUUCCCAUCACAUCAAACUUGCGGUACAUGCAUGGAGUACUAAAUGUCGACGAAAUUAAAAAUUAAUUGCACAGUUUUGUUGUACUUUGCGAGACGAAUCUUUUAAACCUAAUUAGUCAAUAUUUGGAUAAUAAUUCACAAAUACAAACAAAAUGUUACAAUAUGCUACAAUACUACAAUAGUAAUUUUGCACCUUCAAACUUUGAUCAACUAGGCGCGUACUGAAACCUCGGAUCAUCAAAAGAGCAAGCAAAGUGCACAACAUGCCAAGGGACCGAGCAGACAUGACUUCAUCCAUUGGGCCAGAAUAGCAGGCGUGCAGGCAGCCCACCAAAGUGCUGCCUAGCCCAAGAAUGAUUUAUCUUCAACCUCGUUCAAUGCACGCCCUGCAUGCUCGUCGGUUCGUGUGCGGCUGCGCUAGGGGGGAUGGCAACGGGGCUAUCCCCGUCGGAGUCCGGCGGAACAUUCUGCCCCUUGAGUAAACUGUAAACUAAGGUCCCAUUUGUUUGGGCUUCUGGCCAGCUUCUGAACCGCCGAAGCUGGAAGUCCAAAUAAAGAGCAGGCUUCUCAGCGCAGCUUUUGCAAUGUUAAAAAUUCACAGAAGCUGCCGUAGCAUGGAAAGGUCGAAAGCGAGCGAAAAUGAGCUUCCGCUGGCUUCUGACGUCCCACUUCACCUUAUUUACCUGCCUGCCAUCGUGAAUAUACGCGGAUCGUUAUUUUUCUUUUCUUCCGCUCCCCCUCCCCCCGACCCAACCGGCCAACCCUAUCCACUCACGGCUCGCCUCUCGCCUGACGCCCGACGCCUCCCCUCCAUCCCCAUCUCGCCCGCCGCCUCCCCUCCAUCCCAUCGAUCCCCACGCACCCGUCGCUACUACCGUCGCGGCAUACUCCGUCCGCCGAAGGCUACCCGGGGCCGCCGCCAUCCAAGGCCUCCCGGGGCCGCCGUCGUCCAAGGCCAACCGGCGCCUCCUGUUGAAGCCGGCUCAGCCCCCUUGCUCCGCUCACCGUCCGGGCAACCCUUGAAGCCAACGACCCUACCCCUGCAGAUCUGCGCCGAGCAGCUCCACACGAGCCAGUUCCGAGGUGAGCAGCCCUUCCCCUCCUCGAUCUUGAGUUGUUCUAGCCUUGAACCAUGGAUUAGGAUUUGGAUUCACUGAUUAGGAUUUGGAUGCCUUUAACCAGUCAUUCACUGAUUAGGAUUUGGAUUCACUGAUAUAUGUUCUGAUUUUAUUCAAUUAGCUUGCAUUUCAAUUGUACAUCUCAGUAAAAUAUGAUGUAUAUUAAAGGGUUGAAUAUUUGAAGUUAAUACUACUGUUAAAGUUCAACUCAUACUUUUGGUUUGAUAAGCGACAAAACAUUGUUUGAUCUGUUAAAUAGAGGUGUCUUUAGAGGCAGAUUUGUUGAACCAAUAUUCUUAAAACUCUAGCAUUCACUGUUUGGUAGAUGAAAUGUAUGAAAUCAUGAACAAACACCUCUCUGUUUAGAUGGAGAACAAUAGAAAGGGCAAGGAAAAGAGGAAUGAAAAGGAUAAGGUCGUAUGCAAGGUAGAUUGGGAUAAUCCUGAGAUGACCACAAUAUUUUUGUAAAAUUGUUGUUGACGAGAUCCAUGCUGGGAAUAGACCCCUGGGCACUCUGAAUCGAAGAGGUUAUAAGAACUUGCGGGAGAAGUUUUUUGAGCAAACAAGGAAAAACUAUACCUAGAAACAGCUGAAGAACCGUUGGGAUAACCUCAAGAUCUUGUAUACUUUUCGGAAAUCACUAUAGACACUACUGGGGAAUUGUAGCUUUCGUCCACUGCAUUAAUGCUCAUAUUAGUACCGGGUCUAACGGAUAGUUUCUCAGGAGCCCCCCGUGACCCCUUUAGUACCGGGUGGAGCUCCCACCCGGUAGUAAAGGAGCUCCCAUCCACCUUAUCCAUGCCGCCCAGCCCGCUACCCGCUCCCAUCUUAUCUUGGCCUCCCCCUAUCUCUCUCUCUCUCUCUCUCUCUCUCUCUCUCUCUCUCUCUCUCUCUCUCAGCACCACCCCCUCCCCCUUCCUCUCCUGCUGCCGGGACCUUCUCUGCCUCCCCCCGGCUAGCUCCUCACCGGCAGUGAGGAACAGCGGUGGGGCGAGGUGAGGCGGCAGCGAGAGGCAAGUGGCAGCGAGGGGCAAGGGCGGGGCUCGGGCUCGAGCUCGGGGAGGGGGGGGGGUUGCGGCUCGGGCGGGGUGGGAUUUGUUUUUAUUUUUUAUUUUUUAAUACCCUUUUAGUACCGGUUAUUUCAACCGGUACUAAAAGCUCCCCUUUAGUACUGAACUAGCAAUAUCGGUUGCGCAACCGGUACUAAAGGGGGUUCCCAACCGGUACUGAUGGGGCUUUCCCCAGUAGUGGGAUCAAUUCUAGGCUCAGGAGGAAUCCAGAGUUGGGGAUAGUGACAACAAGUGUCCAAUGGAGGGAGGCAAACACAACGGUUAGCAAUCUAUCUUGUGUAUAUUUUUUGUAAUUCUUUGAAGUGUAUAUGUGCAAGUGACCAAUCUGUUUGUGCUCUUCUGUUGUUUGUGCAGGAACACAUGCAGAGUGACCAUAUAUUAUUGCUAACACAUGUGCGAUAUAUAGGAAAGUACUACCUUAUUGACUCGGGCUAUCCUAACCAGAAGGGUUUCCUUUCACCAUACAAAGGAGAGAAGUACCAUUUACCUGAGUUUCAACAAGGUCCUAGGCCAAGAGGUAAAAAAGAAGUGUUCAAUCACUUGCACUCAUCACUACGGAAUGUGAUCGAACAGUCCUUUGGUGUUCUGAAAAUGAAGUGGAGAAUACUAUUGAAGUUGCCUAGUUAUCCAAUGGAAAAGCAAAUAAGGAUUAUAAUGCAUGUAUGGCGCUACACAACUUUAUUAGAGAGAGUGCUUUGAGUGAUGAGCAUUUUGACAUGUGUGAUCAAAAUGAAGACUUUGUUCCAAGUGUUGGUGAAUCAUCAUCCUCUCAGCCGCAAGCAAAUGGACAAGAGGAGAGUGACAUGAAUGCUUUUCGUGAUAGUAUUGCCGAUGCUUUGAUUGCAAGACUAGUGUAAUAUGUACUCAAGAUGUGUCCUAAUUAUAAUUUAUGACUUCACAUGUACUUCAAAAUUAAUGGAUAAUGACCGAUGCAAUUUAUUAGAAUUGUACUAAAAAAAUCUCUAGUAAUAGUUUACAACAAAAUUACAAAUAAUACAGACACAUAGGAAAUACAUGUUGUUGUACACCUCCUCAGCAUAUACAUCCUCAGAGAAGCUAGGUUGCCAAACGCCUCAGCUUUGGGAAAAUCUAGCUUUCAGAAAGCCACCCUUCCAAGAGCAAAAGACAAAAGCUAGCUUUUAGGAAAGUUGCAGCUCAAACAAACAACAAAUAGGUGUAAAUCACCUCGCUCCCCAUCCCCGACAUUGCACACAGGGGCAAUUUUCCCACAUCCCCGUCCCCGUUCCCUAGCGGGGAUUAGACCCCCAACGGGGAUCCCAACCUUGAAAAAUCCCCGAUAUUCGUAGCUAUUGAUUUCUUUCUCUGUUCAAUCUUAGUAUGCAAAGAAAACUUUGAAAGAAACAUCCCAAGGAUUAUGGAAAAACAAAACACAGAUCAAUCGCACAACCAUAUAUACAUCUAUUAUCUAUACAAUUUGCUAGCCUUCUCAGUUCUCACGGAGCAAACAAAAGGAAUAAGAAAAUCCCUGCAAUCUUCACGUUGUCCUCUGAUUGCCUUUAAGACUCACCGUGGCAAGGCAAUAAAUGUCAAUCAUUCACCGUGCAAGGGUGAAGGGUUCACUGUGUGGCGAGAGCAUGCAACUGCGACCUGCGCGGAGAUCGACAGAUCUUCACUUCUGCCAGCACUGGCUCGGUGGAGGUGUUGUAGGAUUCGGAGGAAGCGGACAGGUUAGAAGCCGCAAGGAUGUCCUAGCGGACGGAUUAGAGGCCACGAGGAUGUCCCGGCCGUAAAAAUCAGAGGGGCUGUGGAAGGUUGAACCUUUAGGACCACACCUUUAUUUAUAUAGGUGAUAAGAACCAUCAUCGUGGCAUGUACAAGAUCAGCCGGCGGCCAGCCAUGAGUUUAUUGGUAAUCUAAACUAACCCUAGAUUACAUACAACAACCUUCAAGAUAUACAUCAGGCUAACAACAAACUAUGGUCGGCCACCUAACUUGAGUGACACGUUGCAUUGUUUAACAACCCCCUCAAUCACAGCUUUCCUAAGCUUUCCUAAGUUGAGAUUGUACUUGAAGUUCUCCAAUUGUCUGACCGGGAGAGUCUUCGUAAAUCCAUCUACCACUUGAUCACCUGACGGAACAAAGUCAACUUCCAAGAGUUUUCUGGCGACCCAUUCCUUGACAAAGCCAUAGUCAACUUCAAUGUGCUUCAUUCUUGCAUAGAAGGCAAGAUUAGAAUUAAGAUAUUUAGCACCCAUAUUAUCACACCAAAUUCGUGCCAUUGGAGGACUCUGAAUGUGCAGUUGCUUCAAAAGAGUUUGCACCCACAUAACUUCAGCAGUAGCAUUAGCAAUGGAUUUAUACUCUGCUUCUGUACUUGACCUGGACACAAUUGCUUGUUUCUUAGCAUUCCAUGACACAAGAUUAUCUCCCAAGAAAAUAGAAAAUGCUCCUGUUGAUCUUCUAUCAUCUAGGCAUCCUACCCAAUCUGCAUCUGUAUAUGCACUUACCAGCAUGGAUGUAGACUUACACAACUUUAAACCGAGCUUGGAACAGGAUUUAAGGUACCUUAAUAUUCUUUUUUACAGCCACCCAGUGAACAAUUGUUGGAGCAUGUAGGAAUUGGCACACCUUGUUUACGGGGAAAGCAAUAUCAGGCCUGGUCAAUGUCAGAUAUUGGAGAGCACCUACCACACUUCUAUACUGAGUAGAAUCAUCUAGUCCCAAAGGAACUCCCUCAUGUAUUGAUAGCUUUUCACUAGUAGACAACGGUGUGCUUACCGGCUUGUAGUCUCCCAUACCAACCUUACCUUCUUUAGGAGAUCCAAGACAUAUUUUUGUGUUAAGAGAAUUCCAUUGUGUAACUUGUGUACCUCUAUACCAAGAAAAUAGUGUAGAUCACCAAGGUCCUUUAGAGCAAAGUCCUUCUGAAGAUCCAGUAAGAGAGUCGAGACAGCUUCCGGUUUGGAGCUCACUACAAUUAUGUCAUCAACAUAAAUAAGGACAAAUAUCACAACACUCCCUUGAUAAUAGAAAAACAAAGUGGUUUUUGCUUUAGAACCUUUAAAACCAAGAUCACACAGUCUCUUACUCAAGCGAGAGUACCACUCUCGGGGUUCUUGCUUCAGUCCGUAGAGUGCUUUAUCUAAUUUACACACAUAGUUUGGACAUGUCUUAUCCUCAUAUCUAGGUGGCUGCUUCAUGUAGACUUCUACUUCAAGGACACCAUGAAGGAAGGCAUUUUGUACAUCUAGUUGUCGAAGAGUCCAACCCCUGAAAAUAGCAAUAGAGAGAAUAAUCCUAAUAGUAGCUGCCUUUACUACAGGACUAAAGGUGUCUUCGUAAUCUAUUCCAUAUCUUUGCUUGAAUCCCUUUGCAAUCAGUCUAGCUUUAUAUCUAUCCAAGCUGGCAUCUUGUUUUCACUUGAUUUUAUAAACCCACUUACAAUCUAUGACAUUCCUACCUUUUUGAGGUGGAACAAGGUGCCAGGUUGCAUUCUUUUGCAGGGUCAUAAAUUCACUAUCCAUUGCACUUUUCCAAUUAUUAUCUUGCAAGGCAUUUUCUAAAUUAUAUGGCUCACCAGUUGCUGUAAGAAAACUGAACUUAUUGCUGUAUUUAAUGGUACCAUCAGUGUAAGUUUUCUCCUUACGAAUACCACUUUGUAGGCGUGUCUUCAGUCUUGUGUUCCCCUUGCCGAAGAGACCACAGGGGAUCCGGGCUCCAGAGUCGAGGCAGAUUCGCGAGGAGGCAGCGCAGGGGAAGAUUCACCUCCAGGCAGGGUGGAGCCGGUGGCAGUGUGAUGUGUGGCGGGAAGGACGCCAUCGUCCGCGCGCUCCCCAGUCGUCGGGCGCAUGGCUGGUGGAGGCUGGGCGACGUGGAAGGGGGCACUGCCGGAUGUCCCCGGAGCUCCGGACACGGUGCACGUGUCAGCUGGCGACGGGUGCACCAGUGGGGGAUCCACCCUAGCAGAGCCUGUUGAGCCUGGUUUAGUGCAGGGAGCAUAUCCCGAAGAAGAUGUUAGUGCAGGAGGAUCUGCUUCGAUUUUCGUGCCCAGACCUGUAUUCUCAGUAUUUGAUGUAGGAAGCUCCUGAAAAGCACCGGUUUCUUCACAAAAAUCAUUAGCAGAUAAAUUAGGGAAAUUAGUCACAUGAUUACUCAGUUGCGGGGCACCAUUGCCUAGAGUAUUUGGAUUUAAAAGAGAUGGAUCUAGAAAAGAAAUUUUUGUUUGUAAUCGCCUGCUUGUAUUGGAGUGGAGUUUAGAGAAAGGAAAUAUGGAUUCAUCAAAACGACAUCUCUAGAGAUAUAUACCCGACCAGAUGAAGGAUCAAGGCACUUAAACCUUUGUGCAAGCUGCUGUAACCCAAGAAAGUGCAUUGUGUAGAUCGAAAUUGAAGUUUCUGAGAGUUGUAGGGGCGUAGGUUGUGCCAACAUGCACAACCAAAGACUCGUAGAGAUGUGUAAUGUGGUUUCGGACGGAAUAGAUGCUCUAGGGGUGUUUCAUGCUGAAUAACUCGACUAGGAAUUCUGUUGAUUAGAUAGACAGCGGAGAGAAAAGCAUCACCCCAAAAUUUGAGCGGCAUGGAUGCAUAGGCUAGAAGAGCAAUAGCUACUUCUACAAUAUGGCAAUGCUUUCUUUCAGCGGAUCCAUUUUGUUGAUGCGCAUGAGGACAUGAGACAUGGUGUGUGAUGCCAAUUUGUGUAAAAAAUAAGUUUAAUUUUUUUGAUACUCCUUUCCCGAGUCAGUUUGCAUGGCAAUGAUCUUUCUAUCAAAAAAUCUUUCGACCAGAUUUUUAAACUCAUGAAUUCUUUGGAACACAUCAGAUUUGAACUUCAAAAGAUAGAUCCAGAUAAACUUCCUGUAAUCAUCAAUAAAACUAAUAGAAUAUUUUUGUCCUCCAACUGAAUUGGGUGCAGGGCCCCAUACAUCAGAAAAGACAAGUUUCAAAGGAUGAGAGGAAACACUAGAAGACUUGGGAUAGGGUAAUUGAUGGCUCUUGGCCAUUUGACAAGCACCACACACUGAUUGUUUAUUCAAAUCAAAAGAACAAGGAAGAUUAAAACUACUGAUAACUUUCUCCACAACUGGGAGAGAUGGAUGCCCAAGGAAACUAUGCCAUUGCUCAUCAGAUGGCCUAACAACUCCAAAGGCUUGCUUUAUUGAAUGUGUAGACAGCAGGGGAUACAAUUCUUUAUGGCAGCUCCCUCUAAGAAGAUUUUUCCUCGUGGCCUGAUCCUUGAUCAAAAAGAAAUCAGGGUGAAGUUCUAGAAAGGAAGAGUUAUCAGUAGCUAAUCUAUGAAUGGAAACAAGAUUUUUACUGGCUUCAGGAACAUAGAGAACAUUUUAAGGAUGAAGAUUGUGGCUAGGGGUUUUAACAACUGAAUGACCAAUGCGACAAAUUCCCAUACCUGCUCCACUCACAGUUUGGAUAUGAUCAUUCCCCUUGUAUCGGUCAUGGACAGUGAGCUUCUCAAGAUUGGUCGCCACAUGGUCAGUGGCACCACUAUUUCUGUACAAGUUGGUGUCCACCCUAUAUGAUAUGGUUGCUAUCCCUGCAUAUCUCUCAUCAGGUAUUUCCAUCAUACCUAUGCCAGCAAUCUGUCACCAUGUGACCCUUCUUGAGGCACAGCUAGCACCUGGGCCUGCUGUCAGGAUUGCCCCUACCACCAUUGUACUGGCGAGGGGCGUUGCCGUUGCUGCGGGUGUUGUUGUUGCCGGCGGCCAGCCAUGAGUUUGUUGGUAAUCUAAACUCACUCUAGAUUACAUACAACAACAUUCAAGAUAUACAUCAGCCUAACAACAAACUAUGGCUGGCCACCUAACUUGAAUGACAUGUUACAUUGUUUAACACCAGCGUCGGCGCCAGGGAGAUUGGGGAGGGGUUGAGGCUUGAGGAGAGAGGAGAUCAAUGAACGGCCGUCGCAGUCGCGCGCUCAAGUACUCGUAUUCGCGUCGUGAGGAAAGAGGGUGGCGGGCUGGCCGCUGAGUGACUGGAGGAGACGAGGGGAUGGGGAGAGCUAGGGUUAGCAGAUCGCUAGCCAAAUUUUAUAUCAACUUGUGGGCUUUACCAAAUUUUCUUUGCUGGGCUGAUUUCGGCCUAUAUCUAAUGCACAAGCACAUGAAUUCGAGGCUCCCGCUGGGGAUCGGGGACAGGGAGCCAGGGAAGUCUAUUCCUAUCUGGUUUCCGGUGGCCCGUUAGCUAUAUGGCUUCCAUUGUUUGAGAUUCGUGCAAAGAAAUCCCACCCCUUGGUUGCACCCAUCUUCCUCAACCCUAACUUAGCCGUGCCCCUGUCCAUGGCCGCCGCCUCGACCCCGAGCUUGUCGCUCCCCCACGACACCUCCACCGGCGGGCCUAUUGCACCGCCGCCCAUGACUCUCGGCGCCUCCGCGCCCCAUGGCUAUCGGCCUACUGCCCGCGACCCCAGCGUCGCCGCCGCGCCCCAUAGCGCCUUCACACGUGACUCCUGGCACCUCCGCGUUGGCCUGCUGCCCGCGCGUCCAAAACCUGCCGCCGCCGCUGCGUCUUGGCCGCCGACCUGCCACAGGCACCCCCUGGUCAUGCUGUGGCCACGGCCUACCACCGUGCACGCCCUUCCACCGCACUAGCCGGUGCCGACGCCAGCGCGCAGCCUGCCGGCUUGCCGUGUGCUGGCGUCGGCACCGGAGAAGAAGCCACGACUAUUUUUUUUAAAAUGUUGAUGCAUUUGUGGAUAAAUGUUGAAUCCUUUUUUCAAAAUGUUUAAACGGGUUGUGAAAAAUAUUGAAAAUGGUAUACAUUCCAAAAAUGUUGAAUGUAGUAUUUUUAAAUAUUGAUCUAUUUCUCUUAAAAUGUUGAAUGUAAUUUUUCAUUGAUGAAUUUGGGCCUAUUAGUUGGGUCCAUUAGUUGGUCCUAAUGGACUUUAAAGCCAUGUUGCUUAGCUAGCACAUGGAAGCUACAUAGGAGCCCCCGCCAGGUAACGUCCCCGCCCCCGUCUCACCAGACAGGGAUGAGUUUUGACCUGCUAAGCUCCCCGAGGGGAGUAAAAUCACCCUAUUUACAUCCCCUAAUGGAUGAAUUCCCCACUGGGGAUUGGGGCCCCAUUGCCAUCCCUAGGCUACGUGAAGCCUGAGCCCUCUAGGGCAAUGUUAUAAAUUGUUUGACUAAUCACGAUUAGUCACGAUUAAUCGCCCUUAUCGGUUUCCUACCACCGAUAAUGCCCAACGAUUCGAUUUGGUCGAUAUCGUACAUACAUCUAUGGCCCACCAGGAGGUUUGGAUAGUUCUAUAUAUGGGGCUGGACAUCGAGACACAUCUUACAUGGAGACCAUGGCGCGGGACGGUGUAGUCUACAUGGAAGGACAAGAACUAGUUGGGAAUUAGGAAAGUACUCAUUGUAAUAAGAGAAUAACUCCUCUAACCGUAUCCAACUAGUAUUCUUGUAACCAACCGACCUGUAACCCUGUGCCCGGCUAUAUAACGCAAGGCAGGGACCCCCUCCAAAGCAAUUCAAUCCAACCAACACACAGGACGUAAGGUAUUACGCAAUUUAGCGGUCCGAACCUGUCUAAAUCGUGUGUCUGCGUUUACCUUCGAGUUCUUGAUCUCGACGAGCUGCACUAACCAAAACACUCCCUCGGGUACCCCCCUCGAUAGGGUGCCGGGUCUAAACACCGACAGCUAGCGCGUCAGGUAGGGGUUCUCAUCGAGAAUCCGCUGGUGAACUCGAUGGUACAAGUCAUCAUCAAGCCAAUCAUUGCAUUUGAAGCAGGCGCGACAUUCUUGUAACGACUCAGGUUAAUCAGCCAAGUUAAUCUUACAAGUUCCCAAAUCUGCAGUUCAAUCAGCCCCGACCCCUGAAACUCAACCCAACCGCCGUUUCUCUCUAAGUCCCGAAACCAGGGUUCCUUCAAAAGUGGAGCUUUGGGAGAGCCAGAGACUGGAAGUUGGACCUAGAGAAAGGAUUCCCCGGAUCUAUUAGGCCAAGCGCGCCAGAGCAAGCGUGCGCCCUACUUCAGAGCCCCGUCGCCGUGUGGCAUGGUAUCCCCGACGAGCCCCGCCUCGCCCAGUCGCUAGCCGCAACAGGAUGGAUCAGCGCACCUCCUUCCCAAUCACGCGCGGAAGCGCCCUGCAUCCCUUUUCCACCUCGUCUCAUCUCGCCUGCAACCUCGCCGGCUGCGCCAGGCGCCCUGUCGCCGCUGCGACCAAGGAUUAGCUGCUGCCGCGUCAGUUCGCCUCGUCUCCCGCGCACAUCUCCUCACCUGGAUCCCUGGCCUCGCGUCUCAACGCCUUUUGGCUUUUCUGUCGCCCCUUAGUUGUGCUGCCCACGCGCGCUCCCCGCGACGAAACCGCCUUCGCCAACCACGGCUCCAGCAGUGACAACUCCUUUUCCCGUCUCGCCAGUAGCGUGCCCCGGCAAAGCUGCUGGUUCGGCGCUUGCUAGCGUCGCCGCUCGCCUUGUCACCUCACCUGCAGCGCCCUCGCCUGCAGUGCCCCUUCCUUCCUUCCUGCCGCACGCUAGCCAAGCCGCCGCACCCAAUCCGCCGCUUGACGCGACCAGACCCGCGCUCACCCUCGCCAAUCUUUCCCUCUGGCAAAACCAUGCCUGCUUAAGCUCUGUCUUCAGUGCCCAAUGACCGAAGACCCUAUCCCUGAAGCUCCGCUUCGCCGGCCAAUGGAGGCAUCGACCAAUCGCCGCCCCGGCAGAGCACUCCAUUCUCUUCGACCUGAUCCUCGGGCUGCCCGAACUCCUUCUCUUCCGCGCAGCUAUAAAAGGGAGUACCCGAGCCUCUACCGGAGUUUCCUUCGCCAUCGUUUCCUUGCCGCACCUUCCUCUGUUUCGCACUCAAGCGCUGCCGCAUAAGCUCUUGAAGAACUCCCCUCUCUGCUCAACACCCACCUUUCCCAACCCGCCAGCCGCUUGUUCCUCCGCACUGUGCUAGAGCUUACUUGUUGUCCACAAGAAGCACCGCCGCCGCCGGAGCACCGCCGGUCCCAGCCGCCGCCCAAGCCUUAGCGCCUUAAGUCUUUCCGCCUGAGUCUGUUCCUUCCCGACCCCAAGACUUCACCAGUAGGCCCAAGGGUAAGCCGCCGACCCCUUUCCGUCUUGCCCGACCCCUAUUUGUUUCGCCGACCCUUGUCCGCCUCGUCUGAGGGCUCGGCUGUAUCCUUUUCUGUUGACCAAGGAUAUCUGUGUAAAAUUUUAGGGACUUCUCUGUGUUAUGUCUAAGGACCCCGGUACAGUUAUUCCUUAGGUCUGAGGGUCAGAUCAUAAGUUUUUCCCGAUCCGACUCCUUUAUCUUGUUCUCUAUCAACAGAAGCUUAGGAUUUCACACCUUUCCUGUAGUUUUGCCACAAGUUUCUAAGCUUAAGCUUGCAAGUGUUGUUGAAAUAACCGUCUAAGUGUUUAACCCCUGCAUUUGCAUUUCGUGUAGAGCUCAACCUCGCCGAGGGCACCUACGAGCUGCACCCGGUGCCAGAAGAUGAAGUAGUAGCUGAGCUGCCGACCGUAGGAGCUGAAGCAGAGCACACUGAAGAUCAGUUUGCUUCCGCCCCACUCGAAGGCAAGCCCCGAAGCAUAACCCAACUUUUCUAAACUUGAGCAUGCCUUCCUUUGUAUGUAUGUGCAUUUAUGUUACAGGAGUUGUUUGAAACCAUAAAUGCAUGACUUAGUUCCCUUGAUCUGAACACUAGCAUGAUAAGUCCGAGUAGUUGCAGUGCUUAACAGGACCCGGUAAAAGUCGAGUGAUUUCCUAUCACUCGCGAGUUAUAGGAGUUGUUUGUUCUCCUUCUGGUUACAACUAUAAGGACGGUGGACGGAGCAGAGCCUUGUGAACUCUUUUGGUGGUCGGUGGAUCGCCCUGUCUGUCUAUAUGAAAUUGCUUAAGGUCGGAAAGUGUUGGUGUUCGUGAUCAAGUGUUUGAAAGUACUAAUCUCAUACCUAGUAUGGGAUGGGGAAGCCUAGUACCUGAUUGAACUAGGGCGUGGCUUAUACCCCUGCUGUCCCUGGAACGAGGUUCCCAUGGUGCAUCAUGUGGGUGCAAGUGCUGUCACAGUACGACAAGAGGUCGGGACUGUGGAGCAUUGCAUGCUAAGGGAAGUUUGGACCUGACACGUGCCUGGGAAUUGAUGGGGAUGGCCGACACAGGAAGCGACCCUCUGUGGUGUGUGGAUGUCGUGAGAUUAGGUUCACCAUGCAUGGUUAAGAAACUCAAAUCAAUUCAUCUGCCUCUCACAGUUUGAGACUGCUUGAUCGCUAUGCUACACUGAGUAAAGAUGGAACAUGAUGAUGAUAUGAACUUUGAGGCUUGUUCUAUACUUUUGUUUGGAAUCUAUGAUUGUUAGCAUAAGCUGCCAAUAUAGCCUGGUUAAUGAACUUAGAAUCUGAGCUAAAAUAUUGAAAGUAAGGACCUACUGUAGUUGCUUUUAGCAAAACAAACCCCUCAGCUAAAGAGCCUUGCAUGUCUAGAAGUUGGUGGAGUAGUUUUUCCCACCGGUCGGUUAAGUCUUGUUGAGCUUAGCAGCUUAGCCUUGCUUGUGGCAUCUCUUUCAGGUGAAGUUGAAGCUUCUGAGUGUGCUGCUGUUGGCACUUGGCCGCCCCAGCUUCCUCCUGGGUGGACGGUCGAGUGGGAUCCCUCCUCGGACGGUGAGGAGAGGGAUCAUUGAUGUCUUGAUCGGCCUCAUCAGGGACAUCCGACCCAGCGCUAGCUUCCGCAGUUCUGUUUUAUCUUUUUCCGCUGCUUGAACUCUGUAAAACUUUGGUAUUUCCGAACCGGUGUUGAUGAACUUAAUGUACUUGUUUAAGUGGAAGAUCUGUUGUAUUCUCUGGAACCACUCACUUUCGUGUGAGCUAUGCUAACUCGGUUUGUAUAGUGGUUUAUCGGAUGAAAUCCGACGGAUCGUCGAGUCAACUUGAUUAAAGCAUAUGAUCGCGUGUUAGGCAACUUAAAUGUGCUUUAGCUAAGUUAAUCCGAGGUGUUCCGCCACAGUUCCUCUUCGGCUCCUAGGUUUGCAUCGCAGACGGUGUUGGAAAUUUCUGCCGCUACAUUGCGUUGACCCCGAAGAAGAAGCAGCAAACCAUGAAGCUCCAGCGCCAAGAUCUAGAGGAUCUCGUCAAGAAUUUUGGUGAAUUUUUAUUUCUUGACCUAGUCAGAGGCUAGGGGGACGAGUCUGAGUACAGCUCGACUUCUUCCACCGGUCGGAUUGACUUGCACGAGCUGGUGCAUAAGCCAUCGUGUGAGUCGGAUUACCAUCUGAGUCGAUUCCUGUUUGGACUCCGCAAUGUGACCACUGUUUAUCAGGCGGCCCUAUCCAGAUAAGAAUCCGAUAUGGAUAUGAUCGAGGACCUCGACUACUACUCGGAUCCGGAUGAGGAGACUCCUUUAUCAAGUCUGCAGCAGGGCCUGGUAAUCACAUCAACUCCUCAAGGCAGAUUCUUCUACUGGCCCAACAUGAAGCCACCCGCUCUUGCCAAGGACGAAAAUUCAUGCCUCAUCGCCUACCUCGACACUUUCUCGUACCAGGAGGGAGCUUCUCUGUCGCCCAUCUACGAGGUAGGCGACACCAUAGAGGUCAUGACUUCAAGCUCGGGAAGCUACUCUCCAGAGUAAGAACUCUUCGCCGUCAUUGCUGGAGAAGAGGACGAAGAAGAAGAGCGGCGGGACAGAAACUCGCGACAUGAGCGUCACCCAGAUGAUGUCUUGCAGGAUGAGCUCACCGCCAACAUUGUCAGAGAAGAGACCGAAGCUCAAAGAACUCAACAACGAGCAAGAAACGCCGCAAGAGCAGAGCGCCCCCGCUGCCUUGCAGCGGACCUACCAAUCCAUAACUUGGAUAAUGCCUUUGAAGCAGUUCAAACGCGUCACCAUCAUACUCCCAUGGCUACCGUCAUGUCUAUUGAUCUCAUCACCCGCACGAUGCCCCAGAACAAGUACACUAGACAGUUGGUUGAACUCGCGUAUGAACAACUCGAUCAGCAGAAUCCGAUACAGCCAGUCCAAUACUCCGCAUCCCAGCGAAGUCAACAUGGUAGUAGCCAAAGAGGCACUCUGUUGAGACUGAGUCAACUCGGAGGCACCAGACGAAGCCAAGCUGGAGCUGAAGGUAGUCGGGCAGAACCCUCGGGAUGUCGUGGCCACCAUGGGGCUAACCCAAAGCCUAAACGCCCAGUAGGAGACCUCUACAACAAGAUCAUUGCCAGCCGCGACGCCCGUACCAUCAUCGAUGAACGGUGCCGCGAGCGCGAUCAAGAAGUCAAAUGCCUAGGAGAUGGUACUGACGGGUUCCCCGCCUUCUCCAGACGUGUGAGGAGGACAACUCUACCUGAAAAGUUCAAACCCCCAGGCAUCACCAAGUACAAUGGCAAGCAAGACCCAGUCCAAUGGCUCUGGUGCUACUCGCUGUCAGUACAAGCAGCUGGGGGAAACAACGACACCAAAGUCGUCUACUUCCCCAUCUGCAUGGAGGCGGCGCCACUCACAUGGCUCGAAUCGUUGGACAAGAACUCCAUCGACUCAUGCAAGGACCUCAAGGUGGUGUUCACCAACAACUACAUGGGGGCAAUGCAGCGUUCAGGCAACUGGAUCGACUUGUCUUAGGUGAAGCAACAAGAAAGCAAGACCCUGCGAAGCUACUUACAUUGCUUCUUCGACAAGAAGGCCACAAUCGUGGAUGUCAUGGAGCGUGACUUCGUUGACCGCUUCCAGAAUGGCCUCCACGACCGCUAGAUGUUUUAGGACAUCGGCAAAAGAUGCUUCGCUGAUGUGAAAUCUCUCAAGAUCAUGGCAUGGACGUGGGCAGAUGAAGAAGAUAGGGAGAUCGAAAGGUUCGAGUUCAAUCGCAACAAGGGCUAGAACAACAACAAUCAGAACAACGGCCAACGCAACAACAAGAACUGCAACGAUCGCCCCAGCAAUGACAACUGAAAUAACUACUUGGGAAGUAAGAACCACUUGCGUAAGCUAGACAAUACUGUCACGGAAAUCUCGCAGUCGUCCAAGAAAGGUGGCAGCAAGAACCAAGAUAAACCCUCAUUUAAUGAGCUCUUGAAGAAACAGUGCCCAUGGCACCCAUACCACAAGCAUGCUGCGUUAGACUGUUUCAGUCUACGCAGAGUCAUGAAGGACCUGCCAGAGCUAUCUGGUACCAAAGACAAGGGAAAGACCAAGAAAGACAAAGAUGAUGGUGACAAUGGUAAGUUCUAGAACCCAUCCAACACCAUCAACGUCAUCUUCGGUGGAACCCCGGGUACUGCCACUAAGCAGUUCUAGAAGCUGACUCUUCGAGAGAUAAUGUCCAUUGAACCUGCGGUGCCAACAUUCCUCAAAUGGUCCGAGGUGCCAAUUACCUUGUCCAGAAAGGACCAAUGGACUAGUUUCUCAGACCCAGGAUAGUAUCCCCUCGUCCUGGACCCGGUCGUCGCUGGCUCAAGACUUACCAAAGUACUCAUCGACGGCGACAACGGUCUCAAUAUCCUGUUCGCCAAUACACUGAAUAAGAUGGGCCUCGACAUCACCGAAUAUGAUCACACCAAGAAACUCUCCAUUUUAUGGGAUUGUCCCAGGCAACAUGGUUGUAGCCCUCGAACAGGUGGUUUUGCCAAUUACCUUUGGGACCAAAGAACACUACCGGACAGAAUACAUCCGGUUCGAGGUGUUGAAUUUCAAAACAUCACAACACACCAUGCUCGGAAGACCAGCAUUGGCUAAAUUCAUGGUCAUCCCACACUACGUGUACUUAGUACUCAAGAUGCCAGGAUCCAAGGGAGUAAUCUCCCUGUGCGGAGACUUGAAGAGGUUGUACAACUGCGACACAGAAGCCAUGGAGCUAGCAGCAAUUACUCAAGUACCAAACUUGAUGAUGCAAGUCUUCACUGCAUCCAAGAAGUUGUCUCCAUCAGUGCUCGAGAUUCUAGAAAAGAAGUCGGGGGCAACCAAGGGCAAGCUAGCAAGUGAACUAGACAUCAAAGCCUUUGACCUUAAGACUGGUGACAGCUUCAAGACAGCCCUGAUUGGCAUAGGGCUAGGUCCUAAAUAGGAAGGCGCGCUUGUCAGGUUCCUUCGGGCCAACCAAGACAUCUUCACGUGGAACCAACAGACAUGUCGUGGGUGCCCAGGAGUUGAUCGAGCACUCACUCAACAUGAAUCUAAUAGCUACACCAAAAAGGCAACACCUACGAUGAUUUGCCCAAGACAGAAGGGAAGCCAUCAAGAAAGAGCUGGCCAAACUACUCGCGGUGAGCUUCAUAAAAGAAGUCUAUCAUCUAGAGUGGCUCGCCAAUCCCAUCCUAGUGUGAAAGAAAAAUAACAAAUAGUGGAGGAUGUGUGUUGACUACACAGACCUCAACAAGCACUGUCUAAAGGAUCCCUUCGAGCUCCCUAGGAUUGAUCAAGUCAUUGACUCCAUAGCUGGAUGUGCCCUACUCUAUUUCCUCGAUUGAUACUUAGGGUAUCACCAAAUAGCUCUCAAGGAGGAAGACCACAUUAAGACCGCGUUCAUCACCCUAUACGGAGCUUUCUGCUACACAACAGUGUCUUUCAGGUUGAAGAACACAGGAGCUACUUAUCAACGGGCAGUCCAGGAGUGCUUCAAGAAGCACCUACACCGCAACAUGGAGGCGUACGUGGACGACGUGGUCAUAAAGACCAGAAAUCCCGACGACCUGAUUGCGGAUCUAGAAGAAACUUUUGCAAGUCUGCAAGAGUUCCGAUGGAAGCUCAACCCGACAAAUUGUGUCUUCUGCAUACCUUCCGGGAAACUACUCGGGUUCAUCAUUAGUCAUCGAGGCAUUGAAGCUAACCCCGAGAAGAUCUCCUCCAUCACCGAUAUGCAUGCCCCAUCAGGCAUCAAGGACAUCCAGAAGCUGACUGGAUACAUGACGGCCCUCAACAGAUUCAUCUCAAAGCCCCAACUAGUAUGAUGUGAUCCCUCCUCAAAUCCCCCACGGAUUCGACUUGAAUUUGUAGUUUUCCUAAAGACUUGAGUUCUUGGUAGGGUUUCAGUGUUCUCCAAAAUUCGUUAUGAAUACUUAAGCUUUUCGAAGUGAGCCUUUGGGAAUAACCUGGUAUGUUGUUAUAAGUUUAUGGUUCAAAUUUUGUAAUUUUUGGAGGUCGUUUGAUCAAGUUUUGAAUUGUUCCGACUUGUUCACGCAGACUGUUUUUGGAGCUGCGGAAUAUUCCAAAGAAUUUUCCGAAAAAUUCUGUAGGUGCGAAGAUUUUUUCGGAAAUUUCGUAGGUGUGGAUUCUCCAAAGGUUUGUGCAGAUUCUCCGGAAGUUGCGGAUUAUUCCGAAGAGUUUUGCGGAGUUUCCGUACUUUUGUGUUGGUUUUCCAAUCUCUUCUUCCGACACUUGUUUGGGUUUUCUUUCUCGCUUCCGUUAGUUUCUAAUUUGGUUCCUAGCACCAUUUCUAGAUCCAUUAGCUCUUGCAUAGCUAAGGGGACUUGAUAUUGCUAGAAGAGAGGUUUGUGGAUUGGUUUGAGACUAUAGCCGAGGUUAUUUGAAGAAAUUUGAAUUGGCUCCCAUUCACCACCCUUUGGUCGCCCGUUCCGAUCCUUCACCGUAGAAUCCUUGCUUUUGCUAUUUAUUUAGGUUUCAUCCGUUUCCAUUGGACCCAGAAUCCUUGCUUUUGCUGUGUAGGUUUCAUCUGGUUUAGUUUUCUGUUGGUACAUGGACAUAUGCUUGUACAAAAUCCUUGCUUUUGCUUAUCAUCUAUAAUCAUUGUUUGCACACCGAAGCAUUUUUUUAAACUUAGAUGCACUCUUGUACAGGAAAACAGAUCUUGGAGGAAUGCUGGUGAAAUAAGUAGGGAUGGAAUUUUGGGGCGAAGCAGCUAGAAGUUCCAGGGGAGGGUGAACUUGCAACCACAAGCCUAACAUCAUCUGGAUAUUCUAUCAGAUAGCAUCCACACAAAGAUACAUAGAAGUACGCAGCAAAGCGCCGCCAGCGACGUCAGCACGCCCUUGUGCCCCUGCAGAUAACGUCCAGAGGAGCCUGUCGGCAGCAACCUGUCGAGGUACUCGCUGACAGUGGUGUACUCGACGUCCGGGUAGAGCUCGCCGGCGGCCGCCCCCAGCGACGGCUCGAUCUUGAAGUUUGUCUCCCCCAGGAUGUACGCCGCGUGCCCGAUCGAGAGCGCGAUGCCCAGCGCGUGAGAAGCCUCUGCAGAAUCAUUUUUCCCCCCUUAACAUUUCACAGCAAGUAAAUACAAUGCAGAUGCUGUCUUCUCAGGAAGAACCAGAACCAGGCGUGUCCUACUGACCUCGGAUCAUCUUGAGGACGGCGUCCUCGGCGACGUACACCCGCAGGAACGUCCGGCCGGUCUUCUUCUCCCACAUCGACAGCAGCUCGUUGUGCGACAGCGUGUUGGCCGGCGGCUUGACGUACAGCAUCCGGCCCGCCGCGCGGGGGUCGGCGGCGGCCCGGACCGUGUAGGCACCGACGUCCUCCUCGGCCACGUACGACACCUUGGUGUCGCCGCCGCCGAGGACGACGGCCUCGUCGGCGGGGGGCGCCGGGGACAGCACCUGCCCGACGCUGGGCAGCGCGGCGCCGGCGAGGUACCCGCACAGCACGUAGGUGUGCGGGACGCCCGCGGCCUCCACGGCGCGCCGGACGGACGCCUUGCUGGCGUAGACGGUGGACCUCGCCGGCUCCACGGCGGCGGUGUGGUCCACGUCCGUCCAGAACUCCGACGGCAAGAACCUCUGCACGUAAGCAUUUACAAGCACGCCGGCCGCGAGCGAGCUUGCGGUCAACGAAUCACUGAAUCGAAGCAUCGAAGGCAGUGCAGUGAUGCGAGUAAACAAAGGUUGCUACCUUGACGCCGCCGGCGUCCUUGAUGGCGGCGAUGAGCCGGGUCUGGUCGGCGAUCUGCCGCGUCCCGAGCGCGGAGAUGACGACGUCGGCGGCCUUCAUGGGGCGCACCAGGCUGGUGUGGUCGUAGAGGUCGCCCUUGACGAGCGUCACGCCGGCGUCACGGAAGCUCCGGAGCAGCGCCGCCUUGGCCGGGUCGGAGGGGGCGGUGUCCCUGACGAGCGCGGCGGUGGGGUGGCCCAGCCGCGCGCUCGCCGCCACGAUGUGCCUGCCCAGGCGGCCCGUGCCGCCGAUCACCAGGAUCCUAGUCUCCUCAUUAGGGGACAUCUUGGUUCCUUUGCUUGUGAGUAGUGACCGAUCGAUCGAUUCGCGGCUCACCGAGAAGAGUGAGUGAGUUCGCUAGACUCGACGUGUGUGGCCGGUUUAAGAAGGGACCUGUCUGCCCGUUCUUAUCGUGAUCGGGAGUGACUCAUUAUUAGCCGAUUUCAAUGCGCCAACAUUGAUAUCGAUAUAGUUAACUACCACGCGAAACACGGGCAACAAUAUAGAAAUACAGCUUCGUUUCAAAAAAAAAAAAUAUAGAAGUACAGCAUAAAUCAACAGUUGAUGAUGUUCCCACUCCAUGGCUACGGUUCAAUUUGAGUGCUGUUGUCAGGAAAUUGACAAAUCUUCUUCUUCUUUAUGUAACUGUACAAUGCAAAUGGUUUUAUUUUUUUCUUCUUCUUGAUGGUGAAAUGGUUUCAGUCUGAAAUCCGUUUGAAAAUGAAUCCUCUAAUGCAUAUUUGGCUAAACUCUGUGGCUUCAGAUUAUGAAUCCAACUGCUUAAGAUGGUGUUUGGCAUCACUCCAAAAACCAGCUCUACUCCACCAGCUCCACACUUUUCCAGCUCCACUCCACCAACUCCAGAAAACUAUGAAGCUGCUGUACACAUUUGGUUGUUUAUAGUGCUCCAACUCCAAAAAUACAAGAAUUUGGUGGGAAAGUUCUAUUUUACCCAUGAUGGAUAGCUGGUUCUGUUUUUAGCAUUGUGGAGACUCCUUUAUUUAUUUUGACGUGCUGCAGUAAUUCGCUACAGGAAUUAUUUUUUAAAAAAAUGUCCAACCCGAUAAUGUUUUGCCAAAUGAAAAGUCACAACAAAUACGGUACAAAAUCAACCUUGCCAUUACAAACUACUUCCAAGGAAGAGAGUGCGGUGGCUAGCUCAUCACGAAAGACAUCCAUAGUUGGUGCGUUGAGUGCCGAAGUUGACCCAUCCGACGCCGCUUGUGAAACUGCAUAUUUGUUAUAUCUUUUCGGUACUGUAGGAACAAAAUUAGGAUCACGAUCAAACCGAGCAAAGUCUUCAUCUUCACCUCCAUGUUCACGAAUGAAAUUGUGAAGGACCAUGGUAGCCACAGCAAUCAUCUUUUGCUUGUACAUGGGAUAUGGUAGCAUCUUCCAAAGAAUUUGCUACUUCAUUUUUAAUAAUUCAAAAGGUCACUCAAUCACAUUGCAGAUAGAUGAGUGAAUCCGAUUGAACCUUUCCAUAUGAGUCUUAGGUUCGGUACCUUUAUGCCAUUCAGGUAAAUGAUACCUUUCACCCUUGUAAGGAGCGAGGUAGCCAGGAUGAUUAGGAUAUCCCGCAUCCACAACAUAAUAUUUGCCUAUAUUCAGAUAAAAAUAAUAUGAGUUAUGGAUUAAUGCUACAUGUUAAUCACAUUUGUAUGUUCAAAUUGAACACAUGUUACCUUGUGCAGGAUGUGGAAAAAAUCUUCAUCAACUCUGAGUGUAUUGUACAGCACACUUGUGUCAUGCAUAGUUCUAGGUUGGCCCAUGAAAAUAUAAGUGAAACGCAUGUCAAAGUCACAUACUGCUAGUACAUUUUGAGUGGCUACCCUAGUUUUUCCAAUAUACACUUGCUCAUAAUGUGAAAGAGUGACACGGAUAUGAGUGCCAUCAAGUGCACCAAUACAAUAUUUGAAAUGUGGAUAUGCACAUUUGUCAUAUCUUAUCCUUUUAUGGACCGUGGAGUAGUUGAAAUUUUUUGGUCUAAUGUAAUCUUUUGCCAUAACCAUCAAAGCAUUUAGAACCUCAUCAAAUUUCCUACUAAUAGUUUCACCUGAAUGCUUAAAUCUAUUUUGAGCUCUCCUAUUAGACUCGUUUCCAACACAUGUGUAUAGGAACAUAGCAAGCAUCUCAUAUGUGGUUAUGUGCAUAGAAGAUUGCAGCCCAUACCUUUUCAUCAUGUCAGAAUUUGCCACUUCAUCUAAUCUGUCAUGUACACUCAUUAUAUAAGAAGCAAAUCAUAGUACAACUGUUUAGCUUAUGCAUGUCAUGUACACUCAUUAACCAAAAAUGUAAAACCUAAUCCCUUACCACACCCUCCUACAUUACAGAAGUAUUUUGUGAGAUGCUCUAUUAAAAAAAUGAAGUAUUUUGUAUGAUUCAAUAUUCUAUUAUUAACCAUGAGAUGAAAGCAUCCAGUUACAUUAAUUUGCUACUUUCUUGAAUGAUCACAAUUCACUAUACAGAGUUUGUCAUCCACAAGCAACACAAGAAAGCAACACAAGAAAGUUUAACCGGUUGCUACCAAUUUCCAUUCACAUUCUGAAUUUGAAUAGGAUGCUCAGUUUGCAUUACCGUGUCAGGAGCAUUUCUUUUUUAUGCCUUCUUCAACCCUGUGUGUUGUGCAGCAGAGACGGCAACAUCUUGGGCGGUGGGCUUGCUGCCAAGCCCGGCCACAUCCUCACUGCCAAGCCCGGCGCCUGUAACAACUCUACCUAAAUUAAGUGCUUUAAUCCUAAACCAGUGUCAAUUAAACCCCUAAGCUACGAAGUGAAAUGACCUUUUUAAACCUAAGAAGCUCUCUUUUGGAGUUUGUUUUAAAGCUUGAAAUUCUAUAUACAAACUUAAGUUUCUGCCCAAAUAAGAGUUGUAAAACUUUUAAUUUCCCACAACUUUUGUUAAAGGCACCUUGUCUAAGUCGGAGUGGAAAGGAGUCAGAAACAGCAACCCAAGCCGGUUCUCCUGCAGGACCCUGAAAAUCUUUUAAGUCCUGGAAUUUGAGUUUUCCUCCAUCUUUGCAAGCUUUCAUCUCCCGUUUUCCUAUCUAAACUCGAGUCAGAGCCUUAAUAGAAGUUGUAGUACCUCAAGAGUGUUCCAGCUUUGUUACACUGACCCAGAUCCAAAUCGGGCCCGAACUUGUUCAAAAUCCCGGUCAAAGUGAGGUAAACCAGUCAACUCACCCCGGAUGCUUAAAAAUCCUAAGUCUGGAAUCCCAGAUUUUUGGCUAAUUUUGGCCGGAAAUAUCUUUGAAUCCUUUCACAACCUAAACCGACACCUUAAACAAAGUUUGAAGGAUUACCAGAGUUGAACAAGUUUGUUUAAGGGCGUUUCGGGUGUUGUGUUGAAAGAUUCGGAGAAGGAUCGCUCCAAAGCUGGUCUGGCUUGCAGCCCGAAGGGAGCCUCGACGCUCGCGCGCCCGAGCAUGUUCGCUCGCGCGCUGCGUGGCCGCCGGCCACCAGCAGCUCGCCGGCGCCCUAUCCCCAGCGCGACAGCGACCGGACAAGAGCCACGGUGCCCAACCCGCACCCGCGACAGGACGGAGCGAGCGAAGGGCUAGCCAAUCGUCGGCCGAGCGCAAGUCACCUUCCGUCUGCCACGCUCUGCUCCGCCAAUCCUGUUCCGCCCGUUCGCCGAGGAAGCUGAGAUGCCCCCGACAUCCCGCGUCUCCGCCCGCUCGCCCAACCCCCGCGGUAGCCUUUCCGCAUCGCCCGCCCGACAGACCGGAAGCCCCACACGCUCGCCGCCCAAGGCCAAUCGCCGCCGAAGACCACCCGGAGCUCCGCCUCCUCUGCCCAAUAGCGUCGUCGGCCAAUGGCCGCCUCGCUCAAGCACUCGCCGCUCCCGGCCUUAUCCUUUCCCCACCGGAGCCCCGCCUCGACCCUCCGCGCCACCCCGGGCCUAUAAAAGGGGACCCCCUCACCGGCAAUGCCACCCCUUGCCACCGCCCGCACCUGCGCCGCCGCUUUCUCCUCUGCGCCCUGCCUUCUCCUCUGAGCCACCGCUUUCUUUCCGCGCCGUCGCUGAGCUUCCGUGGAGCUCACCCCCUUGCGCCACCACCACACUCCGGCGACUUCGCCGCCACCCCAAGCCGCUUCAUCCGACACACCCGCCGCUGCUCCUCCGCGCGGUACUAGAGCUUGCUUGUGUCCACCAGAAGCACGCCGCCGCCGGACCACCGUCGAAGUCUCGCCGCCGCCCAAGCCUUCGUGCAUACAACCUUCCCGCCCCAGCCUGUUCCUGUUCGGCCCCAAGGCAUCGCCGGUAGACAUGGAGGUAAGCUACUUAACCUCCCUGUCUUUCCGUCCCGCCCGACCCCUGUCCUUGUUCGGUUCGUCCGACCCCUCUCCGUUCGGUUCGUCCGACCCCUUUGUUUUGGUUCGUCCGAACCCUUUGUUUCGGUUCGCCCGACCCCUUUUCUUUUCGUCUCGCCCGACCCUGCCAAGUUUCGCCGACCCUCUCUCCGCCUCGCCCGAGGGCUCGGUUGUAAUUCUUUUUCUUUGACCCGAGGGUAUCGGUGAAAUGUUUUCGGGGAUUCCUCUGUGUUGAGUCUGAGGACCUCGGUACGGUUUUCCUUAAACCUGAGGGUCAGACCCUAAGUUUUCCCCAAUCCGACCCUUCCAUCCUGCUCUCCACAUGCAGAAGUUGAACUCCCCCACCUUUCCUGUAGCUUUGCUACAAGUGUCCAUGUUAAAGCAUGAGAAUGUUGAAAUAACUAUCUAAAAUGUUUAACCCCUGCAUUGCAUUUCCGUGUAGAGUUGAAUCUCGCCAACGGGACGUACGAGCUUCAUCCAGCCCCGGAAGAAGACCCUGCCGAGGAACAACUGCACCCCUUCGAAGGAGAGCCCGAGCCAGCGCAAGACCCCGAGGACCCCCAAGCUUUUUCUGAAGGCAAGCCCCGGUGCAUGAACUCCCUGUUUUGCUUUCAUGCCAUUGAUUGAUUACUUGAUUGCGCAUUUACGUUUCGAGGAGUUGUAAUGGAACCUUAGAUGCAUAACUUAGUACCUUGUUUUGAAUACUAGUCUCUAAGGCCGAGUAGUUGCAUUGCUUAAUAGGUUUCGGUAAAAGUCGAGUGAUCUCCUGUCACUCGCGAGUUAUAGGAGUUGAAUGUUUCAGUUUUGUCGCAACUAUAAGGACGACGGACGGGGUCAGGCUUGUGUUCGAUGCUUGGUGGAUUGCCCCAUCUGUCUAAAUGAAAACGAACUAAGGUCGAAACAUGUCGGCGUUCGUGAUCAAGUGAUUGAAAGUACUAAUCUCAUACCUAGUAUGGGAUGGGGAAGCCUAGUACCUGAUUGAACUGGGGCGUGGCAUACCUUCCAGCUGUCCUUGGAACGUCGUUCCCAUGGUGCAUCAUGUGGGUGCAAGUGCGGUCACAGUGCAGCACUAGGCCGGGACUGUGGAGCAUUGCAUGCCAAAGGAAGUUGGCCCUGACACGUGCCUAAGGGAUCGAUGGGGACGGUUGACAAAUGAAGCAACCCUUCGUGGUGCGCGGAUGUCGUGAGAUUAGGUUUGCCAUGCAUGGUUAAUAAAUUCGAAUCGAUUCGUCUGCCUCUCACAGAUUGGGACUACUUGAUCGCUAUGCUGCACUGAGUAAGGAUGGAACAUGAUGAGGUUUUAAAUCUUGAUGUUUGAUAAGUAAUUGCCUGGAAACCAUGUUUGUUUAGUAUAAGUUGCUAAUUUAGAAUGGAUAAAGAACAUAGAACAUGAGCUAAAAGGUUGAAAGUAAGGACUAACUUUAGACGCUUUUGGCAAGAAAAACCCCAGAGCCAGAAAGCCUUGCAUGUUUAGGUCUCGGUCGUGUCCUUCCGACGGAUCAGUCUUGCUGAGUACUAGUUGCUCAGCCUUGUUGUGGCUAAUCUUUUUCAGGUAAUAUCAGUAGAUUUGGUGUUGGUACCACUUGGCCGACCUAGCUUCCUCCAGGCUGGACCGUCGAGUGGGAUCCUUCCUCGGACGGUGAAGGGAGAAAUUUUUGAUGUCAUGAUCGGCUCCGUCAUGAUGUCUUGUAUCGACGUUUAGCUUACGCUAGUUUUAAUUUGACCUCGAACCAUGCAAAAUUUCGGUUGAAGUUCCAAAACUCUGAUGUAAUAAAUUGUUGAACUAUGUUGUCAUGAUGGGAUGUUGUAAUCUCUGUGCUACUCACCUUCGCGUGAGCGAUGCUUCUCAAUCCUGUUUACGUGGUUUAUCGGAGGAAAUCCGACGGUCAACCAAGUUGACUUGCUUAAAGUGCAUAAUCGCAUGUCAGGCGACUUCAAUGCAUUUUAGUCAGGUUAAUUUGGGCGGUUCCGCCACAGCUGGCAUCAGAGCUCGAAGCACAGUACGGAGAACAAUAAACCUUAAAACUCUUUUUCUAACUAAAAUUUACAAGAAGUAAAAAUCAAGAAGCUCGUAAGUUCGCUAAGGAUGAGUAUAGUUCGAGGAGCCCUAGGGGAUUUUGGGAUUGUUUUUAAGGUGGCUAAUAGUUAUUGGUUAUCUUCUAACUUCCAGCACUUUUUGACACGUCUAUCAUACGUGUGCAUGAUUCCGCAUCGCGAGUAUGCGAAGGGUGAUGGGAAUUCAAUUCCAACGAGCCUAUCGUCACGGUUGUUCGCCCACGUUUGUUACACGUGUGCAUGAUUCCGCAUCGCGAGAAUGCGAAGGGUUAUAGGAUUCUAUUCAAAGGAACCUAUUUCCACGGUUGUUGCGCUGUCCAUGCAGCGUUAAACGCAUGGGUGCCGUUUCUAUAGCGAACGGUAAUGAUUGUGGACGCUUUCGUGAGUGCUGGCACGGAAGGUUCAAGCUGUGUUGUGUUUUUCUGCAGGUACACUAACAAAGGUUGCAUUCGAAAUGAUGCCUAGUAACUCGACUAGUUAUUAUAGUGAGGGUCGUAUUGUUGCCUUGCCACCGGCACUAACCACGUAAGUCCAAAGAUUUUUGGCAAUUAUUUUUGGUUGAGAGGACGACUAAGACGUGCAUGCAUUCAAACUCGAGUACGUCGUAAAACGUAAUGCACCGCAUUAAGGAUUGUCUAGCUGUCUUUUUCCGCCAUGAUAACUCUAGAAACUUUGUAUAAGCAAGUCGUGUUAAAACACUCAAGUAAAACUGCCACCAGGUACUAACUUUUGGGUUGAGAGUUGUGAUCAGUUGGUGACCCCCUGUUGGCUGUUAGCCCAAAGUGCACACCAGCGGAGUUUCUGCUGUUUCGACCACCCUAAGGACCUUUUCAGUGAGGAGCCCUUUAAGCAAAGUUUUUCAGAACUUAGUGAAGGACUUACUGGUAGAGUUUCAGCUUUGUUGAGUCUCUGGCUUGGAAGUUGUGUUCAGUUUAUCUUGACUCAGUCUAAAGAGUUCCAGCAGGUACACUUAAUGGGAAUCUGAGAUCAUCACCUCGUUAGGUUCUGUUCUAGCCCUACCUUUGAAUACCAAACUUGUUACACGCUAUCUAAAGAACCUGCUAGUAAAAUUUGAGAAGUUUUGGAGGAAUACUUGAUGAGUUAUGAGCUUUCCUCUAACUGCUAGAAAUCUAUUUGAUUUCCAAGUGUUAGCUCCGUUCUCACUUGACCUUUGGUUACAGAUGGCGCAGCCCGUGCACGUUGCAGUCGGCACGGAUGGCACCACCUACUCAUGGUGCCUUCACUACGAGGGUUUUCCAGCUGUGUUGUGGGACACUCUGCGCUCUUUCGGGUAUCAGUCGCCACCGGUUUAUGCGGGCCGUGCGUACCAGGACCACGGGAUUCCGCGGAGCCGCGUACAUGUGCGGGUAUCCCCACAUCCAGAUCAGCCACAGUGGCCACUGUUGGAGGUAGUGGCUGAGGGACACACGCUCCACGACGCCUGGGAGUUCGGAGCCUUGCAGACAUUGACCCAGUUCUGCCGGGCACACCCUCUUGAGAUCGUGCUAGACCCGAUUGGGUUGUUCCCUGCCCGGGAUACGAGGGACCCGGACUGGUUGGACCGUAUGGAGCAUAUGGACUUGCUCGGACUUAUGAAUCCUCAGCGCACGAUUUUUGUUUCAGCUCGCUGCCUGAAUGUGUUCUACAGGAUGGUUGAGCUGCAGAGCCGAGCAAUGGCCACGGUGAUUAGGAUGGCAGUGGCCAACCAGGUUGCGUUGUCUACCGUGCAGAGUGGCAUGGUGGACCAGUCGCUCGAGCUGGUACAGAAGGAUGUUCAGAUUGCUGAGAUGCAGGACAAGAUUACUAGUUUAGAGGAAGAGAUUGUAGACAUGGAGCACGAUAUGGAGAUCUUGGCUGACCAGUUCUAUGAUGUGAACAUGGAGCUGGCGAACGCCAAUGAGCACUUACAAGAACAUCAUGAUGAGCUAAAUGUCAUCCACGCCCUGGAGGUGCAGCUAGAUGAGCAGAUGGCCCAGGAGGAGGAGCCUGAGGAGAUCAAAGGCUUUUCGAGCAUGGACUAUGAGAAUGCCUCACCGCAGCCUCCAGUUGGUGACGCUCACUCACCGGCCCUUAGCUUUGCCUCCGUGGGCAACCUCGACGACUUCUAGUUAUGACAAACUAGGUUGAGCGGUUCUUUUGUCUUUGUUUGUACUCCUCGGCGACCUAUAUUUUUGGCCAGUGAUGUAAUAGGUUAGCCUUGAGUUGAGUACUCCUCCUGUAUGUAAGACCAGCAAUGAAAUGAUCUUAGUGAAAGCAGUUCCUUUUGUUUUCGCUCCCUUUGACUCUACUUCUGAUCUUUGUGACACACCGUGGAUGCCAAGUUGUGUGGGUUUUAGUGCUGUGAUCACACACCCGCCUCCUGUGGGCCUGUCCAAAGCUGGCCGACCCCGGGUCGCGAGGUCGGACGCGCCCGACCCCUCGCGGCAGGUCUCCGCCUCGCCCGACCCCGGGAUGACAGUCUCCGCCUCGUCCGACCCCAUGUUGGAAGGUCUUCGCCUCGCCCGACCCCGGCACCAGAGGUCGGAAUUUAGUGGGGCACCGAGGAUAAGGUUUUGCUCGCCCAAGGGUGUGUGCAGACCAACCAGGGAAACACCGGAUCUUGUGGACCCUACAAAACAUGGAUCCAAAUACCUUUCCGAUCGGUAACAAGGAUAAAAUGACGCUGCAGAAAACGGGCUAGUUGCUAGCUAAGAUGUGUGCACCUCCUUAUAAGGAUAUGUGUUGUGUUGCAAAAGUUGCAUCCGUGGAUUUAACACGUGCAUUCCCACAUUUUAUUGGGAAUACUUCUGAGGUUAUGGAGCUAAUGGAAAGGUGAAUCUUGCAGAUGGCGCAUCGCACACGCUCCGGCUUUGUUCCCAGUGGCAGCGAGGUGCCUCCCCCACCUCCGCCUCCGACCACCCUCGAGUCGAUCUUGGCAGCCCAAACCGAGCUGUUGAGGCACAUCGCUCAGGGGCAGCAGCAGCAGCCCCAAGGAGGAAGGGCCCAUCAUCAGCCACACGUUGCUCGUUAUGAGGAUUUUCUGGGGACCCAGCCUCCUCUGUUUCACAAGACGGAGGACCCACUUGACGCCGAUGCCUGGAUUCGCGCUAUCGAGUCCAAGUUCUCCCUUCUCACCGCAGUUCGCCCGGAUGAGAACAAGGUUCGGUUCGCUGCGCAGCAGUUGCGUGGUUCUGCUCUCCUGUGGUGGGAAAACUACCACGCCAUGCAGUCGGCCGACCACGUCGUUGCCUGGGAGGAAUUCAAGACAGCGUUCAGGGGUCAUCACAUCCCUGAGGGUCUUCUAGAGCGCAAGCUCAACGAGUUCCUGGUUCUCACCCAGGGAGGCCGCGAUGUCCUGCACUAUGCGCAGGCUUUCAACGACCUGUGUCGCUAUGCAGGCUAUCAUGCGGACUCCGAUGAAAAGAAGAGGGACCGUUUCCGCAGAGGCUUGAGUUUGGAGCUCAAGGAAAGGCUGAACCCUAUCAAAGUGGGUUCCUACAAUGAACUGGUGAACCUGGUAAUUUCCCAGGAAGAUUGCAUGAAGGCUCUCAAGGCCGACAUGAAGAGAAAGGCCCCAAUGCCGGCACCCAGCCCGCCUGCCCAGAAGUACAGAAUGGUUCCCCCACAAGCGCCUCGCAGGCCUGCACAGCCUGGGAGAUGGGUUGCUCGACCUCCACCGCAGGCAGCACCUCGUUUCCCAGGUUUCCAGCCACAAGGGCCCCGUCCUGCUCUCCCGAUGCCACUACGCCCGGUCCCUGGAAACCGCUGUUUCACUUGCGGGAACUCAGGACACUUCGCCAAGGAAUGCCCCCGCAACCAGAACCCGGUCAAAGCAAUACAUCAGGCAACAAGGGGAAGAAGCCAAAGGUGCAGGUCCGACAAGGCAGGCUGAACUUCACCACCCUUGCUGAACUUCCAGAGGGCGCACCAGUGAUGACAGGUACCUUUUCUAUCUGUGAUCAACCCAUCCUUAUUUUGUUUGAUUCAGGAGCAUCCCAUAGUUUCAUUGGGAUUAGAAUCAGUGCUAAGUGUGGGCUAGAUUUCUGUCACACAAAAGGCACCUACCUAAUCUCUACCCCGGGUGGAAAGGUAGCUUCACACCAAGUGAGCCGCAAAGUACCUAUCCAGUUAGGAAGGACCCUCCUUAAGGAAGACCUGCUUACCCUUGGGAUAGAAGGAAUAGAUGUUAUCUUGGGUAUGGAUUGGAUGACCCGACACCGAGUGACCCUAGAUAUCCCUGCCAGGGCAAUCCACAUAAAUUCACCCAAGUAUGGUAGCUCCACCAUACGCUUACCUCCCCGAGAGUGCCAACCUUCUUGUGCCUAUCCCGUGUCUGAAGCCCGUUUGGAAGAUAUCCCAGUGGUGUGCGAGUACCCGGAUGUGUUUCCAGAUGAUUUGCCGGGCAUGCCGCCUGAGAGAGACAUCGAGUUUGCCAUUGAGUUGCAACCAGGUACCGCCCCAAUCUCAAAGAGACCAUAUCGGAUGCCACCUGCCGAACUGGCAGAAAUGAAAACUCAGUUGCAUGAUUUGUUGGAAAGGGGUUUUAUUCGCUCAAGUACAUCACCUUGGGGUUGCUCUGCCUUGUUUGUGAAAAAGAAGGACGAUAGUCUGCGAAUGUGUGUCGACUACUGACCCCUCAAUGCGGUGACGAUAAAGAACAAGUACCCCCUACCUCGCAUUGAUGUUCUGUUCGACCAAUUAGCUGGAGCUAGAGUGUUUUCCAAAAUUGACCUCCGUUCUGGCUACCAUCAAAUUAGGAUCCACCCGUGUGACGUUCCAAAGACUGACUUCUCUACACGCUAUGGACUCUACGAGUACUUAGUCAUGUCGUUUGGGCUUACUAAUGCACCGGCUUAUUUCAUGUACCUCAUGAAUUCGGUGUUUAUGCCCGAACUCGACAAAUUCAUCGUGGUUUUCAUUGACGACAUCUUGGUGUACUCGAAGAAUGAACAAGAACAUGCAGAGCACCUACAUACUGUACUCCAACGCUUAAGAGACCACCAACUCUAUGCCAAGUUCUCCAAGUGUGAUUUUUGGCUGGACAGUGUUAAAUUCUUGGGGCACACCAUAUCCAGAGACGGUAUAGCAGUAGACCCAAGCAAGGUGCAAGAAGUAAUGGACUGGAAGCCGCCCGCUUCAGUUCAUCAGAUUCGAAGUUUUCUUGGUUUAGCUGGUUACUACCGUUGCUUCCUCCCUGACUUCUCAAAAAUAGCCAAGCCAAUGACGGAACUGCUGAAGAAAGGGAGUAAGUUUGUGUGGAGUGACAAAUGUGAAGAGGCUUUCCACACCUUGAGGCAACUAUUGACUUCGGCGCCAGUUUUAGCUCAGCCUGACACCACUAGGCCAUUUGAUGUGUAUUGCGAUGCCUCUGGCACUGGACUUGGUUGUGUUCUUAUGCAAGACAGCCGAGUCAUCACCUAUGCCUCGCGAGCAUUACAGCCACAUGAGUUGAACUACCCUACUCAUGAUCUUGAGUUAGCGGCAGUCGUUCAUGCUCUGAAAAUGUGGAGACAUUAUCUCAUGGGAACCCGAUGCAACAUCUAUACAGAUCACAAGAGUCUUAAGUAUAUAUUCACUCAAGCAGAUCUCAACAUGCGUCAACAGAGAUGGUUAGAAUUAAUCAAGGAUUAUGACCUAGAAGUGCAUUAUCACCCAGGAAAGGCCAACGUAGUUGCAGAUGCACUCAGCCGCAAGGUCCAUUGUAACUGCUUAUCGGCGGUCAAUUAUGCCGAGACCCUGUGUCACGAAAUGGCUAAACUCAACUUGGAAAUUGUUCCACACGGCACCUUGAGUCAUAUUUCUCUGGAGCCCGCCCUGCUUGACCAAAUAAUUCUAGCACAGCUAGAGGACCAAGAUGUAAACCUUAUCAAAGAGAAACUUGCACAGGAGGACGAAGGAUAUAAACAUUUCCGACGGGAUUGGAAAGGAGUAGUAUUUUAUGAAACUCGACUUGUAAUUCCAAAUGAUCCCGACCUUAAGAAACAAAUUUUGGACGAAGCACACCUGUCCAAGUUCUUGAUUCACCCCGGCAGUACCAAGAUGUAUCACGACCUCCGACAAAAUUUCUGGUGGAGUGGGAUGAAACCCGACAUUGCUCGAUACGUUUCAGAGUGCGAUACCUGUCAGCGAGUUAAGGCAAGCCACUUGAGGGUAGCUGGCCCCUUGCAGCCGCUGCCCAUUCCCUCGUGGAAAUGGGAAGACAUAAGCAUGGACUUUAUAGUCGGAUUACCCAAUACCUCCCGCAAGCAUGACUCCAUAUGGGUUAUAGUAGAGCGACUAACCAAAACCGCACAUUUCCUUCCAGUACACACCACCCACACCAUACAGAGAUAUGCAGAACUGUACCUUGAUCGGAUUGUUUCCUUGCAUGGUGUACCUAAAACGAUCAUCUCUGAUCGAGGUAGUCAGUUUGUAGCACGCUUUUGGGAACAGUUGCAGUUUUCACUUGACACGAAACUGAUCCGCAGUUCCACAUAUCACCCUCAGACCGAUGGGCAAACUGAAAGGGUUAAUCAGAUUUUGGAGGAUAUGUUGCGCGCCUGUGCUAUUCAUUAUGACAAGAACUGGGAUAAGUGUUUGCCAUUAGCGGAAUUCUCCUACAACAACAGUUACCAAGCUAGCCUAAAAAUGGCACCUUUCGAGGCCUUGUAUGGACGUAGAUGCUGAACCCCUCUGAGCUGGUCGCAACCCGGAGAGAGAACGGUGUAUGGACCUGACCUGGUCAUAGAGGCCGAAGAAAAAGUGAGAAUCAGCCGCGAAAAUCUCAAGGCCGCCCAAUCUCGACAGAAGAGCUAUGCCGAUCAGAGAAGGAGACCCAUCCAAUUUAAGGUUGGAGAUUUUGUAUACCUACGGGUUUCACCGACCAAAGGCGUACAACGUUUUGGAGUAAAGGGAAAGUUAGCUCCGCGCUAUAUUGGUCCCUACGAGAUCGUAGAGACGUGUGGACCCGUAGCAUACCGAGUACAGCUUCCAAAAAAGAUUGCAGCGAUACACGAUGUUUUCCAUGUCUCGCAACUCAAGAAGUGCAUCAGAAUUCCAACUGAAAUCAUUACCCCGGAAGAAUUGGAGAUUGAACCCGAUUUAUCAUAUAAGGAGUAUCCAGUUAAGAUCCUCGACCGGAAGGAAAGAUACACUCGUCGGCAAAGGGUCAAGAUGUACAAAAUUUAGUGGAGUCACCAUACGGAAGACGAAGAGACAUGGGAGACGGAAGAAUAUCUCAACGCUAACUUCCGCGGUUUUCUUUUAGAUCAAGGAGGUACGUUGCACCAGCCACACUAGUUCCUUCUGCACUUGAAUCUCGGGGCGAGAUUCCUUUAAGGGGGGUAGGCUGUAACAACUCUACCUAAAUUAAGUGCUUUAAUCCUAAACCAGUGUCAAUUAAACCCCUAAGCUACGAAGUGAAAUGACCUUUUUAAACCUAAGAAGCUCUCUUUUGGAGUUUGUUUUAAAGCUUGAAAUUCUAUAUACAAACUUAAGUUUCUGCCCAAAUAAGAGUUGUAAAACUUUUAAUUUCCCACAACUUUUGUUAAAGGCACCUUGUCUAAGUCGGAGUGGAAAGGAGUCAGAAACAGCAACCCAAGCCGGUUCUCCUGCAGGACCCUGAAAAUCUCUUAAGUCCUGGAAUUUGAGUUUUCCUCCAUCUUUGCAAGCUUUCAUCUCCUGUUUUCCUAUCUAAACUCGAGUCAGAGCCUUAAUAGAAGUUGUAGUACCUCAAGAGUGUUCCAGCUUUGUUACACUGACCCAGAUCCAAAUCGGGCCCGAACUUGUUCAAAAUCCCGGUCAAAGUGAGGUAAACCAGUCAACUCACCCCGGAUGCUUAAAAAUCCUAAGUCUGGAAUCCCAGAUUUUUGGCUAAUUUUGGACGGAAAUAUCUUUGAAUCCUUUCACAAUCUAAACCGACACCUUAAACAAAGUUUGAAGGAUUACCAGAGUCGAACAAGUUUGUUUAAGGGAGUUUCGGGUGUUGUGUUGAAAGAUUCGGAGAAGGAUCGCUCCAAAGCUGGUCUGGCUUGCAGCCCGAAGGGAGCCUCGAUGCCCGCGCGCCCGAGCAUGUUCGCUCGCGCGCCGCGUGGCCGCCGGCCACCAGCAGCUCGCCGGCGCCCUAUACCCAGCGCGACAGCGACCGGACGAGAGCCACGGUGCCCAACCCGCACCCGCGACAGGACGGAGCAAGCGCAGGGCUAGCCAAUCGCCGGCUGAGCGCAAGUCGCCUUCCGUCUGCCACGGCUCUGCUCCACCAAUCCUGUUCCGCCCGUUCGCCGAGGAAGCUGAGAUGCCCCCGACGUCCCGCGUCUCCGCCCGCUCGCCCAACCCCCGCGGUAGCCUUUCCGCCUCGCCCGCCCGACAGACCGGAAGCACCAGACGCUCGCCGCCCAAGGCCAAUCGCCACCGAAGACCACCCGGAGCUCCGCCUCCUCUGCCCAAUAGCGUCGUCGGCCAAUGGCCGCCUCGCUCGAGCACUCGCCGCUCCCGGCCUUAUCCUUUCCCCACCGGAGCCCCGCCUCGACCCUCCGCGCCACCCCGGGCCUAUAAAAGGGGACCCCCUCACCGGCAAUGCCACCCCUUGCCACCGCCCGCACCUGCGCCGCCGCUUUCUCCUCUGCGCCCUGCCUUCUCCUCUGAGCCACCGCUUUCUUUCCGCGCCGCGCUGAGCUUCUGUGGAGCUCACCCCCUUGCGCCACCACCACACUCCGGUGACUUCGCCGCCACCCCAAGCCGCUUCAUCCGACACACCCGCCGCUGCUCCUCCGCGCGGUACUAGAGCUUGCUUGUGUCCACCAGAAGCACACCGCCGCCGGACCACCGUCGAAGUCUCGCCACCGCCCAAGCCUUCGUGCGUACAACCUUCCCGCCCCAGCCUGCUCCUGUUCGGCCCCAAGGCAUCACCGGUAGACAUGGAGGUAAGCUACUUAACCUCCCUGUCUUUCCGUCCCGCCCGACCCCUAUCCUUGUUCGGUUCGUCCGACCCCUUUGUUUCGGUUCGUCCGAACCCUUUGUUUCGGUUCGCCCGACCCCUUUUCUUUUCGUCUCGCCCGACCCUGCCAAGUUUCGCCGACCCUCUCUCCGCCUCGCCCGAGGGCUCGGUUGUAAUUCUUUUUCUUUGACCCGAGGGUAUCGGUGAAAUGUUUUCGGGGAUUCCUCUGUGUUGAGUCUGAGGACCUCGGUACGGUUUUCCUUAAACCUGAGGGUCAGACCCUAAGUUUUCCCCAAUCCAACCCUUCCAUCCUACUCUCCACAUGCAGAAGUUGAACUCCCCCACCUUUCCUGUAGCUUUGCUACAAGUGUCCGUGUUAAAGCAUGGGAAUGUUGAAAUAACCAUCUAAAAUGUUUAACCCCUGCAUUGCAUUUCCGUGUAGAGUUGAAUCUCGCCGACGGGACGUACGAGCUUCAUCCAGCCCCGGAAGAAGACCCCGUCGAGGAACAACUGCACCCCUUCGAAGGACAGCCCGAGCCAGCGCAAGACCCCGAGGACCCCCAAGCUUUUUCUGAAGGCAAGCCCCGGUGCAUGAACUCCCUGUUUUGCUUUCAUGCCACUGAUUGAUUACUUGAUUGCGCAUUUACAUUUUGAGGACUUGUAAUGGAACCUUAGAUGCAUAACUUAGUACCUUGUUUUGAAUACUAGUCUCUAAGGCCGAGUAGUUGCAUUGCUUAAUAGGUCUCGGUAAAAGUCGAGUGAUCUCCUGUCACUCGCGAGUUAUAGGAGUUGAAUGUUUCAGUUUUGUCGCAACUAUAAGGACGACGGACGGGGUCAGGCUUGUGUUCGAUGCUUGGUGGAUUGCCCCGUCUGUCUAAAUGAAAACGAACUAAGGUCAAAACAUGUCGGCGUUCGUGAUCAAGUGAUUGAAAGUACUAAUCUCAUACCUAGCAUGAGAUGGGGAAGCCUAGUACCUGAUUGAAUUGGGGCGUGGCAUACCUUCCAGCUGUCCUUGGAACGUCGUUCCCAUGGUGCAUCAUGUGGGUGCAAGUGCGGUCACAGUGCAGCACUAGGCCGGGACUGUGGAGCAUUGCAUGCCAAAGGAAGUUGGCCCUGACACGUGCCUAAGAGAUCGAUGGGGACGGCUGACAAAUGAAGCGACCCUUCGUGGUGCGCGGAUGUCGUGAGAUUAGGUUUGCCAUGCAUGGUUAAUAAAUUCGAAUCGAUUCGUCUGCCUCUCACAGAUUGGGACUACUUGAUCGCUAUGCUGCACUGAGUAAGGAUGGAACAUGAUGAGGUUUUAAAUCUUGAUGUUUGAUAAGUAAUUGUCUGGAAACCAUGUUUGUUUAGUAUAAGUUGCUAAUUUAGAAUGGAUAAAGAACAUAGAACAUGAGCUAAAAGGUUGAAAGUAAGGACUAACUUUAGACGCUUUUGGCAAGAAAAACCCCAGAGCCAGAAAGCAUUGCAUGUUUAGGUCUCGGUCGUGUCCUUCCGACGGGUCAGUCUUGCUGAGUACUAGUUGCUCAGCCUUGUUGUGGCUAAUCUUUUUCAGUUAAUGUCAGUAGCUUUGGUGUUGGUACCACUUGGCCGACCCAGCUUCCUCCAGGCUGGACCGUCGAGUGGGAUCCUUCCUCGGACGGCGAAGGGAGGAAUUUUUGAUGUCAUGAUCGGAUCCGUCAUGAUGUCUUGUAUCAACGUUUAGCUUCCGCUAGUUUUAAUUUGACCUCGAACCAUGCAAAAUUUCGGUUGAAGUUCCAAAACUCUGAUGUAAUAAAUUGUUGAACUAUGUUGUCAUGAUGGGAUGUUGUAAUCUCUGUGCUACUCACCUUCGCGUGAGCGAUGCUUCUCGAUCCUGUUUACGUGGUUUAUCGGAGGAAAUCCGACGGUCGACCAAGUUGACUUGCUUAAAGUGCAUAAUCGCAUGUCAGGCGACUUCAAUGCAUUUUAGUCAGGUUAAUUUGGGCGGUUCCGCCACACUGAGACUACUCCAAAUUGACAAAGCCCGCUACACGCUCAGCGACCGGCUCCAGAUCCUCCAAAUACUGCGUGAACGCUUCAUCGCUACAAUCUCCGGUGAUACCGUAUGUGACCAACGUCAAGUUAGCGAUAGAAUACAGAAUUAUGAUCAACAAGAUACGAGUACAAGUACUCACCCUCCAAUUUUUGCUACAAGGACUUGUUGGGCGCCACCAUACGACUCCUCUCCACUUCAAAAUCAUGCCUUUUAAUUCGAAAGGACUCAAUGACAUUUUCAUACUUCUUCAGGAAGUCAGCAGUGCAGCGGUGCUCCUCAGUAAUGUCCUUCUCCAACUGCGCCACAGGGCGCGCAGCCUCACCCUGCUCUUGGACAACUUGGAUAUUCUUGAGAGAUUUUUCAUACAAAUCCUCCACAAUCAAACAAUUAGUACUCUUCACGAGUACAUAUGGUGCCAGGCUACAAAAUUAAGCACUCAAAUGCAGUACUAAGAACUCACCUGAGUAUAAGCCAUCAACUGUUGAUGCAAGUUCACAAAGUCAGAUAUCGGUGGCAGCUCAUCUAGGGGACUCUCAAAAAUUUCAACUUUCUGCGACAAUCCUGGAGCAUCGGCCACCACACUAGCCCUCACACUCGACGUUAGGAUUAGCUUCUGAGAAAAAGAAGCUCCAACCUCUGAAACAUUCUUUUCCGCUGCUUGCUCAAGCACAGAAGUUGUCACUACAAUCUCGGUUGCAGGGGGAGGAUUGUCAUUAACAACCUCGGAGGCUGGCAGCGCCAGACCCUCAAGUGAAUAGAUUACAUCUCGCAAUAUGGCGGCUGCAAGAGUCACUGCACCUGUGUCACCAGUAUGCGCUGGGUCUUCACUUAUCAAAUCGACAACAGGUGCCGCAGCAGAAUCCGCGCCCGAUGGAUUUUCAACCUGUUCUGCGCUCACUUCUUCGAGAACAAUAUCCUCGGAAGUUCUAAUAUCAAACACGAUUCAAGAUUAAAAAAGAGACUACUGAUCGUGAAGUCGGUAAUCAAACCAUUACAAUAGAGUACUUACUUGGCCGACCGGGGAGGAACUCGACGAUGUUUCUUCGCCACGGGGACUGGAUGUACACUCGGAGCUGGCUCACUAGCCGGUACGGGUGGCAACUCCUCGGUGUUUUUGCCAAGAUCUGAAAGAACCAACUCAGAGACAACGUACGCACGACUACUACCAGUACUCGCGUACUCACCGCUAGCUGGGACUUCAGGCAAAGUGGUGUCAGAAACUGCUUCGGGCAUUUUCACAAUUCCACUUAUGGUAGUCUCUAACGAGUCGCCCGCUUCACCACUCGCAACUUCAAGAACAACGGCUACUUGAGUGGUAGCCAUCUCGGGCAUCAUGGCUGCAUCUUCAGCGGAUGUCUCCAAAGAAAUCACACUACCAGCCGCAUCCUUAGCUAUCGCGACUACAUCAUCAGAAGUAGUCUCGCCAGCUCUGUACGCUGCAUUCGCGGCUUCCUCAAUGUCUUCAUCCAUAUCAUCAACAACCUGCAAACACAAACGUCAAAACAAGUCAAUUCGACUAGUCAAGGUAAUUACCGGCGGUGGAGCCUUGAACGUCUCCAAGUGCUUGCUGACAGAUCGCUUAUGCAAUACGGUCCGUCUCUUCUUUGGCAUUGGAGCCUGGACCUCUCCAUCACCAACAUCUCCCGCUGGAUGCUUCAAGGUAUCGGUUCUAAAUUUAUAUCCUUUGAGAACUCGAGACUGCAUAGGGAAACAUGAUCAGACAACUCGGACUCAGACGAUGCAAAAUCUGAACCGCCAAGCAUCUCAGAGUCCCCAUCCUCCUCCUCCUCCUCUGAGGGAUCAUCAGGCAAGCGCACGUAGUACACAGAUUUCACGUUCUUUGCACCAUCAGCAUCAGGGUGAGGAGGAGGAGAAAAGUAUAAAAGGACAUCCUCCUGCGUAAGGAAUUACUGGUUGGCAAACAUAACGACUAUUAAUUAUGGGUACUCAAAAGGAAAGCAAGUUACCUCUCUGGGUUGAUACCAUUUGUCAAACUCCUGAAUGGACUCAUCAACUUCGGGCACUCCUUGAAAAUUCUUCAAAAAUUUGCUCAACAAGUCUUCAACCGCUUCAUUAGAUAUAUCUUCAAUAGACAUCCAAGAUGGAUCAUCAAAGCCUGAGGACUCGUAGCCCCAAGUCUAGCGCAACUGCAAUGGUUGUUCUCUUCUCUUCAAGAAGCUGGCUGCUACAUUUAUCCCUGUCAGCCCUGCUUUCUUCAAUGUUGCUAUCAUCUGCAACAACUCAGCCACUUGAUGAUUGUCCUCAAUGCUAGGCUCUUCAAGCCACUUGCUCGAGUACUUCGGGCGGUACCCGGUAAUCACUGGCAUUGGAGGCUCAUGGUUCUCAAUAUAAAACCAGUUCUAUUUCUAGACACCAUGGGACGGCAGAGUCUCAUAUUCCAGAUACACUUCGGAGUCCCUUAGCUGAAACCCUGCGCCUCUGAGUACUGCCAUUCUAUCUUGACUAGGCUGGGGCUUGCAGCAGAAAAGCUUACAAAAUAAUUGAAAAUGGGGUUGUAUUCCCAAAUAUGCCUCACAAAGAUACACAAAGAUUGCAAUGUGCAGUAUCCCAUUGGGAUUCAGAUGAACAAGCUGAAUGUCGUAAAAGUUGAGGAUACCUCUGAAGAAAUCCGAUGUUGGAAUAGCAGGUCCUCUCUCAACAAAAUGAGCCCAAAUCACUGUCUCUUUUGGAUGGACCUCAAGGUUCUAGGCAUUGGCAUAGGCGCACCUCCAAUUCACGACAACCUCCUCCUGUAGCAAUUUUACAUCCACCAACUCUUGGAUUGCUUCCUUCUUCAUGGUGGACAUCUUCCAAGUGGAUGCUUGAUUUGGCAAAGCAGUCUGAUCGGUAGGCCCACAUUUGGGUGGAGGAAGCUGCGGCUGCUUCCCCUUCCUGGAAUCUUUCAUCGAUUCUUUUAUAGCUUUUCCCUUGGACUUGUCAGUCUUCUUCCCCAUCUUCACAUGCAUCACCAUGGGGCGUGUAAGAGGAGGAGGAGAAAACUACUAUAACACUUAAAGUUGCUUACUUCAGAUGAUGGUGGCGGCGGCGACGACGCAAGUGGCGGCGUUAGGGUUUUGUCAAGAUGGAGAAUGACAUAUGCGAAUGGCUGGAAGCAUAAACAAUGGAGGCUACCGGCCUUAUCUUUUAUAACAGCGCAACGGAUCUAAAACAGCUCCACGAUUCUAGGAACACAGCCGGUAAUCUCGCAACGGUCUGAUACUCUCAAGAUUUAUCUUGAUAUUGAAGUCCAACGGUCACGUUGAUCAUGAUUGACCCCUUCAUCACCUGGAAGUAAUCGAUCAAGUGCUCGAGGGCUGCAUACACCUCGCCUGUUGGAUAAAAAUUUCUUUUUCUUCAGGGAUUAAGGAAAGACGAAGCAAAUUCAGUUUGACCCUCAGCCUGAUUCUUCGAUUCAACCUAAGGCUCGGGGGCUACUCCAUAUGAAGUGCGAUUUUCGUCGCACUUCCAUAUUAAGGCUUGAAGACAAACUACUCAAAACCAAUGUCAGAAUGGGGCAGGAGUACCUUCCAGCCGCAUGAUAGCAUUCGAGUACUCGAAGACUAGCCACGACAGAAGUACUCAACGAGCACCAAAGACUAGUCGAGCAACGUCUGCUGAGUACUCGGAACUGUUUCAUUUGACUACAAAGUACUCGUGGUCUUGGCGACCAUACAUCCCCGAGCCCACCAGAAGAUCUGUACGGACCCACUCAAGGGGAUGUACUCGAGACGUAUCAGAACAUGAGGACUACGCUACAGGGCAAUGUAGACUACAUGGAACUUCUGAAGGACUAGUCGGAAUACAAGGAAACUACUCUGCCAAGUUAGAGUAGGACUCUGUAAUCUUGUCCGACUAGUACUCUUGUACCAAAGACUACCAUAUAACCCUGCUCCCCCGAUAUAUAAGGGCGGGCAGGGACCCCCUCAAAACAAGUUCAAUCGAAUACAAGCAUACAACACACAGGAUGUAGGGUAUUAUGCGAUCUAGCGGCCCGAACCUAUCUAAAUCGUGUCCCUGCGUCACCAUCGACUACUUCAUUUCAGCGACACCCACCAACCAAAACACUAUCUCGGGUACUCCCUUGAUAGGUUGCUGGGUUAAAACACCGAUAAAUACCUACCAACUCCAUGAGGAGGUCAGAAAAGGGGGUUUUUGGAGCACCUCUUGAGGUAUUCCAAAAAAACGUGGAUCUACCCCCUGCUCCACCUUUUUCCUGGAGCCGCAGUUGCUGGAGCUAGACGCGUUUGGCUGCGAAAUUUUUAGAGUUGGUGAAGUAAAGCAAUUUUUUCUGAAGUAAAGUGUUGUCAAACAGUAAGACCUACUGUACAUCGAUGCAAAAUUUACCCGAUCGCUUAUAACUUUCUAUCCCGCCAUUGCUGUUAUUAGUAGUAGUUUUUAACUAAUACUAGUAUGCCACAGUUACGUACGGCGUCAAAACGGACGGCAACAUCUCUCGGUGAUCCCAUCAACCCGCCCACGCCGCCACAGGGCCGCGCCCCGCACCGCAAGCUCGCGGGAUUCGGGCGCCGCGCGCCGUCCGUGCCCACGCAUGGGGAGCUCAGCAAGUUCUCCUACUCUGCCUGUCUGCCUGCUCUCCCGCCCGUUCGACGACAACGCCCCCGUGAACGGCUCGCUGGUUCUCGGCGACGGUGGCGGUGGCAAAAGCCGUCGGGAUGCAGUACGUCCCGGCCCUUUGGUCAAGAGCGCGGCCGGCGACAUGGCCCUGACCGGCGUGGUAGUGCAGGAAGGCCGUGCGGCUGCCGGAGCGGGCGUUCUCCGCCAAAUGCCUGCGGAGCGCGGGGGGCGCCAUCGUGGACUCCGGCACGACAUUCGCGUACCUGGACCCGAAGGUGUUCCAGGCGGAACUGCUCCUGCCUCCGCGCCCGUGCGCCCGACGUCAGACGCAGCGGCCUCCACGGGCACCGCGCCCUGGCGAGCGCCCCGAGCCACCUCCGGAGCAGGGGAGACCCCAGACACGGAACCUGCGCGACAAGCCGGCGUACCAGGUUCGGGUCGGCCGGCUGCUUGGCCGCUUAGGCUUGGGUUGGGUAUGCGCUCGACAUCGACGGUUUCAAUUUUCAAUGGUAUACAGAAAAUCUUCUCAUCGAUUAAGCAGUCUACAAGAAAUCACAAAACAAAGCAAUCGCUAGGCAGCAUAGCAUCAGGCAUCGUUAGCAACGUAAACAGCUCGUCCUCCGGCUGCUGUCCUGAGAAACAGGCAGCCAGAGAGACACGUCCACACAUCACUCGCGUCUCGUUCUUCAGAGGAACCUGUCGAGGUACUCGUCGACGGUGGUGUACUUGACGUCCGGGUACAGCUCGCUCGCGUCCACCCCCUUCGCCGGGUCGAUCUCGAAGCCGGCCUGCUCCCCCAUCACGUACGACGCGUGCCCGAUCGCCAGGAUGAUGUUCAGCGGCAUCGCCGACUCUGCACAUCCACGCAAUUAUUUGCCAUGUCAAUUAGCCAAACACACACGUUCCAAACGCUCCCACAGCUCCUCUCCCCGGCGGAGCCAAACGCACUGGCUGACCUUGGAUCUGCUUGAGCACGGCUUCCUCGGGGAUGUACACCCGCUCGAACGCCUUGCCGGUCUUCUUCUCCCACAGCGACAGGAGCUCGUUGUGCGACAGCGUGUUGGCCGGCGGCCUGACGUACAGCGUCCGGUUCUCGGCGCGCGGGUCGCCGGCGGCCAGCACCGUGUACGUCCCGAUGUCGCCUUCCUCCACGAACACGGCCUUGGCGUUGCCGUCGCCGAGGACGAUCGCCUUGUCCGUAGGCGCCGCCGGGGAGAGGAGCUGCCCGAUGGUCGGGAGCGCGUACCCCGCGAAGUACCCGGCCACGGCGUAGGUGUAGGGGAUCCCCGCGGCCUCGGUGGCGCGGCGGAUCGCCGCCUUGCCGGACAGGAUGGUCUUGGCCGGUUCCACGACGCCCGUCCGGUCCACGUCCAGGCCGAACUCCGAUGGGAAGAACCUCUGCACACACAACGACCAUCUAGCUAGUGAGAAUGCGUGUCCAGGGAUUGACAAAUGGAUGGACGGUGAGAACGAGAGCGAGGAGCCGAGGACCUUGACGUUGCCGGCCUCCUUGAUGGCGUCGAUGAGCCUGGUCUGGUCGGCGAUCUGCUGCGACCCGACGGUGGAGAUGACCACGUCGGCGGACUUGACGGCGCUCACCAGGCUGGCGUGGUCGUAGAGGUCGCCCUUGAGGAGCGUCACGCCGGCGUCCUGGAAGCUCUUGAGCAGCGCCGCCUUGGCCGGAUUGGACGGCGCCGUGUCCCUGACGAGCGCGAAGGUCGGGUGGCCCAGCCGCGCGCUCGCCGCCACGACGUGCCUGCCCAGGUACCCGGUGGCGCCGACCACCAGGAUCUUGCUCUUCUCCGACGCCAUCCUGUGUCACUACCCGACAGAACCUCAGAAACUCGCUUGGCGUCUGAUUGGCAUCCAGCGCCACUGUAUAUAAUGGUCUGAUCGAGUAUCACAUUCACAGCUGGUUCCAUCGAUAUUUUGUUUCGUCGACUGAUGGUUGUGGUGAAGCGUGAACCUGGUUGUGUUUCCGGACUUGGACAUUAUGGGCCGAAACCUUGGUGUCGUCAUUGUUCAAGGAUGACGACAUUUGUGUUUGGCCUACUUUUUCGGAAUUGCUAUAUUGUGCCCGAGUAUCUUGCUCUCUUCCACCCACUUCAAAACUUUUCUCUUCGCCCUAUCACCAAUUCUAGCGAGAUUUUCUGUCUCCUCCGCCUCCGUUGUGUUAGCGAUAUCGGGAUAUUUUUACAACACGGUUGGAAAUCUGGGGAUGAACAAAAAUUUAUGUAAGAAGAAAUAAAAAAGAGAAAUCGGUGCAUGAAGAGAAAUUUUAAAUUACCAUUGUGGGCUUGUGGACACGGACGGGGAGUGGAUGCUCUUUUUAAACUUGGAUGUGGUUAGAGUUGGACCAAUUUUAUGCCUAAAGCAGUGGUCAUUUUUUUCAUUUCUUUCUCUCCUCUGCACUGGGAAAUUAUUCCACUAACAAAGACAACAUUGAGUAGAGUUCAUCAACAAAAAUGGCAAAAUUUGAUAAUGUUUAGUAGUCAGGCGUCUUCAACUAAGGUAACUUCCCGUCAACUGUGGCCGAGUCCAUGGUCGGCAAAAGCAAAAUUUGGCCAGAUCCGCUCAGCCUAAUUUGGAAUUCUGGAUAGAGCUUGGGGGCUAAUGAUGAGUGAUGAUAAUGAAAUAAGCGUCAAAGAAAGGUUUUAGAUUGCUCAAUUCAAGAUCAAGUUCGUACUGUCGAGUCUUAUUAGCAUACACAUCAUCCCGACGAAUUGAUCUACUUGUAUACGAGUAGGAGUUCAUAACCGACUACGACAACAAAAGUGGUUCUCGAUCGGUAUAUGUACGCAUCAUGGGGCGAUGUACGAGACACAUAAGCUUUUGGGCUUUUGGGUUGCAUCUUGACCUAAAUACCAAAUUGUUUGUGCUCACGGUAAUAGAAAAAACUCUUAUACUCAAAUCAUGAGGCCUGAACCUGUAUAAAUCGCCCGCGUGCUAUUCCGGUUCUUGACGCAUCUUAAUAUUGAUCGUGAUCUUAUAUUGACACAUCAUUCCUUGUCGACUUAGAUCACCAAUCCUUGACAAUUUAAAUUACCAAAAAUGAUGAAAAUUACAAGGUGCAUAUUGUUCUCGUCUCGUCCUUCAGAGGAACCUGUUGAGGUACUCGUCGACGGUGGUGUACUUAACGUCCGGGUACAGCUCGCUUGCGUCCACCCCCUUGGCCGGGUCGAUCUCGAAGCCGGCCUCCUCCUCCCCCUUCACGUACGCCGCGUGCCCGAUCGCCAAGAUCAUGUUCAGCGGCAUCGCCGCCUCUUCAGCUGAAUGAAAUGAAUUGCAUAUUUUAAUUAACCACGCAUCCACAGUGAUAUAGAUUCAGAUGUUAUCCCCCGACAGUCCGACACCAUGAUCGAUCGAGCCAACAAGGCACUGACCUUCUUGGGUCUGCUUGAGCACGGCGUCCACGGGGAUGUACUCCCGCUGCAACGCCUUGCCGGUCUUCUUCUCCCACAGCGACAGAAGCUCGUCGCGCGACAGCGUGUUGGCCGGCGGCCUGAUGUGCAGCGUCUUGUUCUCGGCGCGCGGGUUGCCGGCGGCCAGCACCGUGUUCGUCGCGAUGUCCCCCUCGUCCACGAACGGCACUCUGGUGUCGCCGUCGCCGAGGAUGACGGCCUUGUCCUCUCCCUGCCCGAUCCCGAUGGAGGGGAGCGCGAGGGCUGCCAAGUACCCGGCGACGGCGUAGGUGUAGGGGAUGCCCACGGCCUCGGUGGCGCGGCGGACGGCGGCCUUGCCGGACAAGAGGGACUUGUGCGGCUCCACGUCCACGACGCCCGUCCGCGCCACGUCCAGGCCGAACUCCGCCGGGUCCUCAGGGGUGUUUGGAUACACCACCUAAAGUUUAGCAUGUGUCACAUCGGAUCUUUGGAUAGUAAUUAUGAGUAUUAAACAUAGUUUAAUUAUAAAACUAAUUGCACAGAUGGAGUCUAAUUCGCGAUAUGAAUCUAUUAAGGGCCUGUUUGGACGCGAGGUCAUAAAGUUUAUGACAUGUCACAUCGGAUGUUUAGAUACUGAUUAGAAGUAUUAAAUAUAAUCUAAUUACAAAACUAAUUACACAUAUGGAGUCUAAUUUGCGAGACGAAUCUAUUAAGCCUAAUUAGUCCAUGAUUUGACAAUGUGGUGCUACAGUAACCAUUUGCUAAUGAUGGAUUAAUUAGGCUUAAUAGAUUCGUCUCGCGAAUUAGUUUUAUAAUUAGCUCAUGUUUAGUCCUCCUAAUUAGCGUCCGAACAUCCGAUGUGACCCCUCCUAAAGUUUAGUACCUUGUAUCCAAACACCCCCUAAGCCUAAUUGGUCCAUGAUUUGACAAUAUGGUGCUAUAAUAACCAUUUGCUAAUGAUGGAUUAAUUAGGCUUAAUAGAUUCGUCUCACGAAUUAGCUCAGUAGUUCUGCAAUUAGUUUUAUAAUUAGCUCACAUUUAGUCCUCCUAAUUAGCAUCCGAACAUCCUAUGUGCUAAAGUUUAGCACCUAGUAUCUAAAUAUCACUCUUAGAGAUAAGUAUCCUAGGUUGUUUACGAACAGAAGUUAAGUAAGAAUGGAUUCUAUCCAUAAGGAUCCAAUCCGAGUUGUCUUAGUCAUGAAGUCAAAGAUUCCCGAUAUAAUUGAGGGAUAUGGACUCAUUGAAAAUAAAAAAGAAAGCAAUUAUAUUUCCCUCGAUCACUCUCCCUUUGUUCAAGCGCUGCAACCCCCCCCCCCCCCCCCCCCCCCCAACACACACACACACACCCACACACCACAAACUAGGACUGUAACAUGGUGGAGGAGCGAGCGUCGAUAAGUGGCGCGAGCAAGAGAUGGUGGCAGGCGGUGAUAGGGUUCACAGAGGAGGAAAAAGGCUGCACGCAAGAUCAGACGGCUAAUCUCAAAUAUCGGAAGUCUCUCUUCUUCUGGAAGAUCAUAGGAUCCGGAAGCCGACCGAUCAACCAGGAGAUUACUUAACAAAUGGACCGUCCAUUACAAAAGUCGUGGUACAUACCAAUGCAACAAACUGGAUCACGAAAGGGAUCGGAUCUUAUUGGCGUGGAAUUGACGGGACCUGGCCAGUGCAGGUACCCUCGAUCGAUCAGAGACACAUGGUACUAUCGCGCAUGCUGUGCUUCAGCAGUACAGGUGACAGUAGGCAAAGCACCAACAACCAACCACACGUCACGCGCGCCGUCUUCUUCAAAGGAACCUGUUGAGGUACUCAUCGACGGUGGUGUACUUGACGUCGGGGUACAGCUCGCUUGCGUCCACCCCCUUCGCCGGAUCGAUCUCGAAGCCUGCCUGCUCCCCCCUCACGUACGCCGCGUGCCCGAUCGCCAGGAUGAUGUUCAGCGGCAUCGGCGACUCUGCACCAGAAAGAAACAAUUGUUAACCACGCCAUCGAUUCCACGAUGAUCGAUCGAGGCAGCAAGGCACGUUCUGACCUUGGAUCUGCUUGAGCACGGCUUCCUCGGGGAUGUACACGCGCUCGAACGUCUUGCCGGUCUUCUUCUCCCACAGGUCCACGAGCUCGUUGUGCGACAGCGUGUUGGCCGGCGGCUUGAUGUACAGCGUCUUGUUCUCGGCGCGGGGGUCGUCGGCGGCGAGCACCGUGUACGUCCCGAUGUCGCCUUCCUCCACGAACACGGCCUUGGCGUUGCCGUCGCCGAGGAUGAGCACCUUGUCGGCGGGGGGUCCCUGGGCGAGCAGCUGCCCGACGCUGGGCAGCGCGUAUCCCGCGAAGUACCCGGCCACGGCGAAGGUGUAGGGGAUGCCGGACGCCUCGGUGGCGCGCCGGAUCGCCACCUUGCCGGACAGGAUGGUCUUGCCCGGCUCCACGAUGCCCGUUCUGUCCACGUCCAGCCCGAACUCCGACGGGAAGAACCUCUGCAUAUCCAUCUCAUUUAGCUUUUUAUCUAGUGACAACGAGCAUGCCGGAAGAAAGACAUUGAUGGCGGCAUUCAUGAGAAGGCGCUCAAGCAAGAACAAAUUAAAGAAAAAGGAAGGACCUUGACAUUGCCGGCCUCCUUGAUGGCGUCGAUGAGCCUGGUCUGGUCGGCGAUCUGCAUCGACCCCAGCGUGGAGAUGACCACGUCGGCGGCCUUGACGGCGCUCACCAGGCUGGCCUGGUCGUAGAGGUCGCCCUUGAGGAGCGUCACGCCGGCGUCCUGGAAGCUCUUGAUCAGCGCCGCCUUGGCCGGGUCGGACGGCGCCGUGUCCCUGACGAGCGCGAGGGUCGGGUGGCCCAGCCGCGCGCUCGCCGCGACGACGUGCCGGCCCAGGUACCCGGUGGCGCCGACCACCAGGAUCUUGCUCUUCUCCGACGCCAUCCUGAUUGCUACUUACUGACGAGUGAGCUUGCUAUCAACGAGCUGAUCGGCCUGCCAAGUACUCGCUCAGUCUGCGCUGCAAAUCUCGUCUGCCGUUGGAUUGCCAUCAGACUCCACGAUAUAUAGUGGGGGAGUAGCAACGGGUUCCAUAUACUCGCAUAGUCGCAUCGGUGGUUGCGGCCCAUAGCGAUUAGGUUGGCUUUCUUUUCUGAUUGAUUAGGACACGACGCCUAAAAAAGUCAUGCUACCUCCAUAUAAUCAUGGACGAUUAUUGAUGCAGGCAACACUAGCUAGUGUUUGCCCUGUCAUGCACUCCCUUUCGAUUUUCAGGUUAGGCAAAUGGGGAAUAGGCCACCGUAUGUUAGGCAAGAGCAGUCCCAACCCUCCUCCGAUUAGGAUGGUUUCUAUAGUAUUAAUUGUGCAGCUACAUAGAAUCUUUUGCUUAUGUGAUUAUAUAUUAAAUAAGAGAGAAUUGGAAGAACAAGAAACUGGGUCUCAUGCAAGACUCAGUAUCAGCACGAGAACCUAAAUCCUAGACAGUGUUAAAUUUGCAUUGGAAGAAGAUGGUGUCUUCAUAAUUGAUGAGGAAUUGAGAGGAGAGAUGAUGAAUUAAUUAAGGAUCCACACUAAGAAAUCAUAGGUUGUAGAAUGUAAUUUCUAAAGUGAUGUCUUACUUAUGUGGCAGUAUAGACACACAGAUAUCAUGGGUUGGGACUACCCUAAGCAUAACCUGUCUCCAACUUCUAAUUGAGAGCAUAUCGACAUGCACCAGCACCAAUAUAUUUCUAGUUAUACAUUUUAUGCUCACAUUCAUUGUAUAUACAGUCCUUUUAAUUACUCCCUUGCUGUGUAAUGAAACUGAGAAAGAGAUAAGAUAAAUAAUAGCCUGAUUUGUUGGUGUCCAAAAUUUACCAUACUAAAAUUUGAGUAGACCAAAAUAUAGGGCAUGUUAUAUCAAAACCUAGGCAAGAAUUUUAGAAUAGGACUUAAUUGAUUGCCAACCAAGCGAAUGCCAAAAUUUAUGGACUCGCUCUAGUUUGGCAGGGCAGAUUUUGGGAGCCAACCAAUCGGUCGUCAAUGUUGGUACCGUGUUCUACUCAUCAUAAAGAAAAAUGAGCUUUACCGGUGGUAAAUGCUUCAUUUCGGGAACUUUCUAGCGGUAAUACCCGGACUAGCUUCUAGAAGGCACGCAUGCUAACGUGUCGUGACAAAAGCCGGGGAGCUAAUAAAAUAUCGAGGCCAAUCCCUUUCAAAUCAGACAUUUUAUAGUCAGUUUGUUGGUAGCACCAUCAUCAGGCAUCAGCUCGCACUGCCGGGUGCCUGAUUGCUUGGCCCACCCCCACUACUGGCUGUGUGUGAUGAUUGGUGGAUACGUUGUUCUCUGGCGUUGCCAGUGAACCCACCACUCGAGAGGGUACAGGCAAACCUUAUUCACAUCUAAAUUUAAAUAAUUAAUAUUCAUUUUUUACUCUCUCCGAGGUGGAUAAUUAACUUUGUUAUAUAUAUAUAUAUAUAUAUAUAUAUAUAUAUAUAUAUAUAUAUAUAUCCAAUUGAUUAAUUGUACCUUAUUCUAUUCAUUUCUAAUGAGUAUAUAAUUUUCUACCCACACCCUCCUCAUUUGAAGUAGGUGUGGAUUUGGGGAGAGGGAAGCGGCACGUCUAGCUGCUAGUGCACCCGGAUAGUGACGUGAAUUGUUUUUUUUCCGAUCUUUUUUAAUUUUGGUCUUAAGAAAGAUUUUUAAUUUUAAUUACCAGUUCAAGUACACUUUCACACCCCGCACCCGGACGUGGUUGAUUUCUCGUCCUGGCGUCCCCGAUGAACCUGGCCAAGUUCCCGGCCAAGUGGUUCAGUCGACAUGUUCGUUGAACCAAAGACUGGCCGUCCUGGAACUUGCGAUUGAGAUCGAGUACAAAGGUCCAUCGCAAGCCUGCAGAUCGGUCGGAUCGUGGGUCAUUUUCGGCUUAGGAUCGGAAUCGACCGAUCAUCACUCGGUAACUAGCUAGAGUCACGAUCUCGCGCCAAUAAGCAUCUGUGCGUAGAUUCUUUGGCCAUUGGUGUCUCACCUAACGCCGUCGACAGUGUGACGACGGUGGAGGUUCGUAGAUUCUUUUUCACACCUGAUUCUUUUCUUUUUCAGUAGUAAUUUGCGCGCGCUUGGGCGCGCGUAGAGCUUACGACUUCUAUUGAUAAGCAUAAACUAUUAUUGGAAUAUAAAAAAAUAUUUAAAAUAAAAAAGACACAUUUGGUUAAGCUACAUCUUAAGUGUAUCGUUCAUUUAUCACGCGGAAAUUGGAAACUUCAGAAAUCAAAAUCCACAAGAGUCGUUGGUUUUAGUUUUUUUUUACUAAACACAUAAACCAAGAUUUUACAUAGUAAGCAAACAACGGUAUGGAGCGAAACUUUCGCAUCUACAUAAGCAAUUCAGAUCCACCAAACCAGAAGAAAAAAAGUGCAAUGGCGAUGUCCAGAAGCUCAGGAGACGAGAGGAGGCAACAGCCGGCAAAGGAGGAGGCUAGGCCGAUCGGCCUGACCUCCCCAUGCCUAUCGGCACCACCCCCUCCUUUGGCCGCCACCUUCACCCUUCACAUGGAAGCCAAGAGGUGCGAGUGGAGUCCGAAAACUCCGCCAAGGACCGCUCGUAAUGCUCGCAUCACGUUGGAGGCAAGACGCCAUCUGGAAAGCUCGCAGAUCGCAAGUUCAUCGUCCUCUCAAGUGAUGAUGAAGCAUAUAAGAAGAAGAAGGAGAUUGUUGUCGCUCCCACAAGGCGUUCAGCAAGGUUCCUCGGGAUCAAGCGCAAGAGCUAUGUGAAGAACACGUCCGAGUACUCGCCGGCUGACUAUGGAGGUGAUAGCGAUUGGGAGGACGAUAUGAGCCCCAGAUCGUGGGGUGCUGCAGGCCAUGAUGAUGAAGAAGAUGACAACACGUACUGGGAUUGGGGUGAAGAUAAGAAGAAGAGCAAGGAGCAAGAUGGCUACCAUCAAGAUAAGGGCAAAAAAAAAAGAUCUCGAAGACGACGAGCCAAAACCAGAGGAGCAUGAACUAGACGAGCAUUAUCAUACGUGUUGUACCGCUUGUAAGAAGAACAUCCAUUACCUCUUCAACACUAUCGGCGACAUCAUGGAAGCCUUGUAAGGUCUGGAUCAGAAGGUAGAAGACAAUGAUCGUUGUCAGGAGGAUGACUUCAAGUUCUUGUAGAGGAACAUGAGAAAGCUCUUCGGGAUAUGUGGCAACAAGAGGAAGAAUAGAGCUCAUGACGAAGGAAGCAGCAACCAUCCGGUAUGCAAGCAGUGCGGGUAGCGUCACUAGUGUGUUUGCAAGCGCCUUUCCCUUUGUACUUCAUGUGGCUACGAUGAGGACGUCAUAGAUUUUAAGCGUGGGGUGGGGGGAGAUCAUCACUUGUACAAGUUUUUGGAUCUAGUUUGGUCGAGUCGAGUCGUGUGAGAGUCUAAAUUAGUGUUUUUAUUUUAAUUAAAAGUAGAUAAAGUAGUAGUCUUCUUAAGCUUCUGGGAAGACUUAGGACUAGAUCGCAACUUUAGCGUCUUUGUGAGAAGAAGCAUGAAUAAAAUUUGAGGAUGGUGCGAGUGUUUUUAGUGUCUACCUUAGCUUGCUUGUCUUUAUUUUGUCUGUGCAACUUUGUAUCAUGAGCAUUAUCCUGAAUUCUAAAUCUCUGUUGUGGAAUUGAGUAAUCGGUUUGUUUAUACAAUACCCAUGCUUUAUGAUGAUCAAGUGCUUUGGUUUUGAUUAUGCUUUAUGAGUAAGACUUGAAUUGGAGGUGACUCAAAAUUUUAUUGCUUAUCUAAAACCUCUGUAAAAACAAGAUUGAUCAAGAUCUUUUAACCAGAUUGAGAGUUAUUAUUUAUGCUACCCAAUGCCUUGAAAGAUUUAUUUGUACCACCAAAAGCAAGAUUUGACGCUUUGAAUUGAGUUAGGAUCGUUCUCUCUUGGUUUGCUUUAAUUCUGAGCACCGAUCAUAUCCUUUUUACCAUCUCUGAUUGCUAGGCUCGUCAAUAUUCAGUAAUGAGAUUUCUUCACUGGAACAAUCAUAUUUUCUACUGAAUUCCUAAACCUGAAUCAUAAAUUUCCCAAUUUUAUUACCUAUUCCUUGAACACAACCCAAUAUACACAGAUCUGUUUUAUUUCUGGUCAAGUUUUAUGAAAAAUAAGGAAAGAUACAAGAUAAGGAAGCUUCACCAGAAAGAUAAGCCAAAGGGGAGGAAAGGAGAGGCUAGGCCGAUCGGCCUGGUCCCCUCCAGGCCAAUCAACAUGGGGCUCCUUUGCCUCGGUUCACGCGUAGAAAAAUUGUGGAAAGCCUCUGGAAGGAUCUAAAACUAAUUUUUAUGGUGUGGUGUUUAGAGGAGGUUCGGAGAAAGAGAUGAAAAAUGAAAGAAAGAAAGAAAGGAAAGAAAGAGAAAACAUAUUGAGAAAAAGAAAAUGAAAUAAUAGUGAAAAGGAAGAAAGAAAUAAAGGAGGAGUUUUUACUGUCAUGAAGAUCAAGAGAAGUGCAAAGAAAUAUGACAUUAUUUUUGGAACGGAUUUUCAUUCCAACCAUGUGCAAUCCGAUGAUGAGGACAUCGCUUGUGCCUCAGAGUCACUAUUUUAUUUGCCUUUGCACAUGUCCACCAUUCUAUAUCUUCUCAUCCUUGAAAACCUCAUAUUAUAUGGAUAUUCUUUUGAUCAUUGGCUCAGAAGGUAGGCAACCGUUAGAGAGUUUUCUUAAUUCUAUAUUACAAGUGU
Molecule: long non-coding RNA, 67654 nt
Filed under: Setaria viridis
Lineage: Eukaryota; Viridiplantae; Streptophyta; Magnoliopsida; Poales; Poaceae
Description: long non-coding RNA (SVIR_LNC005198)
Source: RNAcentral